Molecule: long non-coding RNA, 50880 nt
Filed under: Solanum tuberosum (potato)
Lineage: Eukaryota; Viridiplantae; Streptophyta; Magnoliopsida; Solanales; Solanaceae
Description: long non-coding RNA (STUB_LNC009002)
Source: RNAcentral
UUUUUUUUUUUGUAAAAAUAUAUUACCGGUUAUUUUGGUUUGUUUAUUGAAUACUAUUUGUAGAAAAUGUAAAGUUUCCAUAUAAAAAGCAAAAAUUAUUAAAAGUUUGACAUAUCUAGAAUACUAUGUCUCAAGUAAAAUUAAAUAGAUUGACUAUAUUAUCAAUUGAAAAGGAGUCAUUAGAAGAAAAAAAUUUAUGAGAAAACUAUUCAUUUUAUAUCUCAAAAAGCUAGAAGAAUACACAUCUUAAAAAAAUAUAAUAUUUUUGGAAAAACUUUUAAGGCCUCUAUUUGAAUUUAAUUUAGCUUUAGGCAACUAGUGUGCUUAAGCUGCACAACUAAUACUUACUAGUGAGCUUAAGCCGCAGAAGACACCUAAUAAAGUUUCAAAAGACAUCUAUUUAAAAGAAUAUUAUAUAUCACAUGCACAUGUUCAACAAAAAAAUUUGCACAUCACUCGGCACCAAAGCUGCAACCAACAUAAGUUUGGGUGAUUAUGUUAAGACGAUUUUGCAUGACAUCCAUAGACGGAUAAGGAGGAAAACACAGGCGGUAAAAGCAUGUGUGCGAGGAAGGCAAGCAAUCAUGAGAGUCUAAAGUUUGGUAGAUGUGAAGUUUAGAAUCUAGACCACCAAAACCCUCAACAGGCAGAGACUUGAUUGAAGUCCAGAAGAAGAGAAGCACAUUUCUCUGCUCAGCCGACAUACUUCCAACUAUCUGCAACAAUAAAAAAAAAACUUUAAAAAUAUUGGUGGGAUAAUAACUUUGAAGGAGCAAAGGGGCAAAGGGGCAAAGGUGUAGACUUCUCAAUAGUUAACACUUUGGAAACAUACUUAGUAGCAGACGAGAAAUAAGUACCUCCCAGAACCAGGAUAUUUGAGGAUCAUCUUUUUUGUAGCCACUGUAAUUUGUAUGUUCUUUCCAGUCUUCGACAGAAACAGCUGUUUUACACCCAUGAAGCAUUUGUUAAGGUCUUCAUGAUCUAGGAUCUGGUAAAAGGAUUCCCGGAGCCGUCGGUCAGUAAUUAUGUCAGCAAAACCACGAGCAAAAUGGGCUACCUGAUGAGCAAUUGAUGUGACAAAACGGUGUUUAACCAGAAGAUUAACAUAGUUGUCCCUAUUCUCACUGUUCACUAUCGUAUUUUUCCCAUUAGGGCAAAGCUCCACCACUUUCCUGGAUCCCAAUUGUUCGUCUUCACAAACAAAUGUUAGGCCUAGGAUAUCUUCAUCCACUAUCUUCGUAUCCAUCUCCAGUAUCUUCUUGCAUCCACUGUACAAGUAGGGAUCUGCAUCCCUAAUGUCUUCAAACGACAUAUCCUCUCCAACUAAUUGCGAAAAGAACACACGAUCAAAGGCAAUGCUUAUUUGUACUCUAUGCAACAAGGCCAACGCAAUCAUCCUCCCGGAGAAGAUUAAAUACUCAAGGUGCAAGGGGUCCACUUUAGAUGCUGCAAGCACAAAAUGCAAAGAUGAUGGUUAUUUUGCAUUAUAACAGAGAGAAUAAUAUAAAUUUUCGUGAAACAUCAAAAUAUUGUAUCGAACAGCUUGCAGCCAUCUUAUAAAUGCAGUUGUGCAAGAUUCAUCCUAAUCUAGACAGUUAAUGAAUAUUGGAAGAAUUAACAAAAGGAAAGAAAAACUCAGUUUUUCUGCUUUAUAUUGAAAUGAGUUCAGUUAUGUUAAGUUGAGUUGAUCCUUGUAAGUUCUUCAGUUCAUUUUAGAUUCUUUUCAAGAUUAAAUUGUGUUUAGCAUUCCAACUCGCAUACUCGUACAUUCAAUGUACUGAUGCCAGUUGGCCUGCAUCUUAUUAAGAUGCAGACACAUGUAACUAGGAUCGGCACCCAGCGCAUCGUUGAUUCAAUUAAGAUUCAGAGUUGUUGGUGAGCCUCCUUGCAUUCCAAAAGAUCCCCUUUUUUCAUUACUUUAUCAUUUUAGCUCAUUAGGAUGUCGUGGGCCAGUCCCGACAUCCAUCUCAGUUGUUUUAGAGGAUUCAUAGCUAGUCAGUUAGAUGUUAGUUCACUCUUCAUCAUUUUGUUAUUGGCUUAUGUUCAGAUUUGAGUUGCCAUUUUGGCUAAGUUAAAUGUUUAUUUUUAAAACAUUAUGAGUUCAGUUUGAGACAUGUUGAGUUAUCUUGUUUUUGGAUUCUCUUUCUUAUGUCUAAGUCUUCUGCAGAGUAAGUAAGCCAGGCCAAGGGUUUUCUUGGGGCCAACAAUGGUUCUCGAGUGCCGGCCACGUCCAUGGUGUAGGCUCGAGGUGUGACACUUGAACUCUACUCUUAACUCUCUCUUGAAUGUGAAUUAUGAAUUAUGAAUUCAAGAGUUAUGGUUCAUGAUAUGAAGGAUCUUGUGAUGAUAAAGUAAACUCAUGAAUACAUUCUCAUACUCACUUGCUCGAGUCUUCAUUCUCAUACUCACUUUCUCGAGUCUUGAAACAAGUUAUUAGAAAUUGUAGAAGACUCCUCAAAGUGACUUUCUCAAAAAUGUUCGAAAGAAUUCUCAAACUUGACUCUCAACUCUACCUUGAAUGUGCUUUAUGAAUUCAAGGUUGCGAUUUGUGAUAGGAAAGAUCUCGUGAUAUAUAUGAGUGUUUUAGAUAGUUAAACAUGAGAAACGAUCAAGAAAUCACUGUCUGGAAGCAAGUCCGUGACGCGGAGAUGCAUUUUAAUAUUUGGUCAUGAAUUAACUUUUGAGGCAGAGAGGUCCGUAAACUCUUUGCGACGCAAAGAAAAUUUAUGUGAAAGGGGAAGGCAGGUCCGCGACGCGGAGCAAGGUGCCAGAUUCGCCCCACUUUUUCCUUCUUCAUUUUCUAACCCCAAUUCGCCUAAAUUCGAUUCUUUUACUCAACUUCACUUUAGAUUCAGAUACCCAACACAUGUAAACUAGAAUCUAACUCAAAAUAACUCUAUAAAUCGACGCAAUAAUACCAAGAACUUCUCAAUCUCAGCCAAUUCAAGAACGAAAGCAAAUUCAAGAACACAUAUCAAGAACACCAAACUUUCAACUUCCUAGAACGAAUUUAACGCUGAAAUUAACAUGAUUGGCAUGUGGGUGAAUAAACCCAACACCAUGGAAGCUUACAUACCUGAAAGAACCAUCUUUUUUAAGAACUUGAAGGAAAAUCUUGGGAGAUGAACCCUAGCCUUAGCAUUUCUUGAUUUCCUUGAGCUUAGAAUUUUUUUUUGAAGUGGAUGAGAAGGUUUAAUUUAUGAAACCUGAUUUUUCUACACGUUUAGGACAAUUUAGAUGACUUCCUUAGGGUUUUUAGGACAAAAAUACCCCUAAAGAAAUAAAUAAAACGAGCUGGGAGUUGGAAUAAAUUUUCACCAGGCAGUGAGGUCCGUAUUGGCUCCAUAACGGGGAGCCAUCGCGGAGAUGCUGCCAGGUUUGGACGUCGUUAGUAAAUUAGUCAUAACUUUUUACUCAGAGAUCGAAAUUUAGUAAACUCGGUGGCGUUGGAAAGAGGACUCGAAGGGAUUUAAUUUUCCAUCUUGUAGCUCACCUAACUCAUCUUAUACUGGGAGUUAUGGUCGUUUGAAGUUGACCCAAAUCUUAGAAGAACUUAGGAAGUGCUUGAAUGAACUCUCUUUAGUUCUUCUUGAAACUUAAGGUGCUACAUCUAGUGACCUUAACACUAAAGAAAUUUUAAUCCUCGGUAAAAAUACUACUCACAACAAAGGAUGGUUCGAGUCUCAGUUCAAUUUUUUUUUUGGGGUGUUACACACACUUCACCUCAAGUCACCCACCUUUUUCUCCUGCAGACUCUACCAUAUAAGUCAUUAUAUCCUCAUAUCAAAUCAUAGCCCAACUCUUGUCUAUCACAUAGAGAAUCCCCCCAACUCUGCUAACGACCAACUAUACUUCUUGAAUAGAAAUAUAAAUGGUCGUAUGCAAUAUAUUUACCCAACUAUGAGUGAGGGUCGAUCCCACAAAGAAUAUGGAAGAAUAUUGUCAAUAACAAAUAUUUAACUCGAUAGUCGUUAUUGAAAAAGGGGGAAUUUAAAUUGAAACAAAAAUAAAAAGAAUAAAAAUAGCUUGGAACUAAGUAUUUAUAUAUAUUUAGAUUAUUAGAAAUAACUAGGAAUAUUUUCCCCAUGAUUUCAUAACAUAGCAAGAAUAGUGUACUAGUGAUCUAUUUCAAUUUUUAGCAUGCAAGGUUGGUAAGUUAUGUAUCUCCUAAGUGAUUGGGUCCUCCAAGUAGGGAAUUUCACCACGCAACUUGGUCCGUCUAUUAGAUUGGGUCCAUCUAUUAGAUUGGUCCGUCUCCUAAGUGAUUGGGUCCUCCAAGUAGGCUUACCCUUAACCCCAGAUUAGCCCCGGUAGGUGGAUCAGACUAUUAGCUAGCGAAUUAUCACAUCUAAAUCUCCGUUGUUCAAUCCCUUUCUCAUUCAUUACUUCCUUGGUCCGACAAGUAGGAGUGAGGAAAAUUCUAACGUUGCGCACCGUUAAAAAGCAUUCAAAACGAAAGAAUUAACAAUACAUGCAUAAAAAUCAUUCAAGAAUCACUUUGUACAUAAACUUACUUUAAUAAUUCAUCAUGGUUCCCACAACCCUAGUUAUGAAAUUUAGCUACUCAUUAUCUAAAAAACACAAUCAAAAUUUACUAAAAUAAAUAUGCUUGUGUUAAUCCAAAAAAUUUAAGAACAAUAGCUAAAAUAUAUUUCAAUAAUAAAAAAUACAAAUAAAUAAUAAAGGAGGGAGAAAAAAGAAUAAACUAGAACCGGCCUCCACGACGGCUCUUCCAAAGCUCCUAAGAUAUAGGGUUCUAAAUUAUGUGUUGUGUAUUGUGUAUUGUUUCUUGGUUCUUCGUUUCCCGAAGAAUAAUCUGUUAUGACCUAUUUAUAGAUAUAAAAUUAAUCCUAAAUAAAAUAAUUGAGAUCAAGACAAAUUAGAAAACCAAAAGCCAAUUGAAUUGGGUUUUCUUUGUUGUAUGCGUAAAAGUAAUGUAAACCGCAUUAGUUUUUUUGUUACUGACUCAAUAAUUGCCACGGAGCAAUAAGAAGAUAAUCAAAUUUGGUAAUUCUGCAUCUAACCAACUUUAUAUAUACAUAUAUUAUUAUAUUAAAAUUAAUUCAUUGCUCAAUUUUCUUCUAUGAUUUCUUAUUUUAAUUCCUUUGUGCUCCAAAUUACUUCAUCUUGACACCAUAUUAAUCUUACAAAUAACACAAUAUAAGAAUAAUCCAUAAAUUUUAUGCUAAAAAUGAUAAUAAAAAGCUUAAAUAUGAGGCAAAUAAUGAUUAAAUAUAUUUAUUUUUGGCCUCACAUCAACGCCCCACACUUAAACUUUUGCUCGUCCUCGAGCAAACAUUAAAGCUCAUAAGAAAAAUCAAACUCGGAAUACCACCACUGUAAUGACCGGUUCCCAACGGGGAAAUUUUUUGGGCCGGAAAACUUUUUCUUAGUAACUUGGGAUUUCCCAACCUAGUCCAGAUUUGGACGAAAUCGGAGUCAGUGAGGUCUAGGGAAAUCUGGUAACAAUUGGGUGAUCUAAUUAUGAUUCUGAUCAGGUGAAUAGAUAGCUAAGACGGUAAGGAACCCAUACGACUUUAUGGAAUUGAAUUCGGGCGAGUAGAACUCCUGAAAUUGAUCUUAGCGUGAACGAGUAGUUUUCGAGUGUCAUCGAUUGAAAGUAUGUUGUGAAAUGGGGGUUUUGGAAUUCUUAAAAUUGUUCACUGUGUCCAUGCAGGCCGCUGUAGGAGGGUGAGUGCCGCCAUAGCGGGACAGUCGCGACUUAAGUCGGAAAUAAACCCCUAAAACAUUUUAUUCUGUACUUUUCAACUUUGAGAGCUAAGGAACGACCCCAUGUGUUUUCUUGAAAGUUUUCCACCAUUCGUAAGGCUAUAGGUAAGAUUUUCACUCCCUGUAUCCAUUUUUUGAUCCGUAGAACUUAGUUUUGUGGUUAAUUAUCGAUGGGGAGAGUUUUGAUCUAGAAAUUAUGGUGGAAAAAGCCCUAAUCUGGGUAUGGGGGAUCAAGAGUUUGAUCUAGGGUUGAUAGAUUUGAUGGUAAUUCGGGCAAUUAGAUAUUGUUUAUUGGUUCUCGUAUUAUAUUAAAUGUUGUAUACCAAGAACAAGCAGAACGAAUCUGGAAAGGGAAGAAUCAAGUUACUUAGGGGAUUUAAGCUUGUUUCUAGGUAGGUGAUGGUUGUUAUUUCAUGUCGUAUGAUGUAUGUUUGUUCUUGCUUCAUUAUAAUACGUGUAUGUAUGCUAAUGUAGCAUUAUUGAUCACACUAGUUGUAAAUGAGGAUAGAUGAAUGAUGAAUGCAAUGAAUCAUGACUUGAUUGUAUGAUUUUGAGAAUAUACAUGUGAUUGCGAUUGUUGCUUGUUGAAUGGAUCGCGUGUUGCAUUCCGACAUACUAACUAGGAUCGGUUGCCACGUUUCGGCAUCAACAUGGGUUCGAUUGCUGAUGCUUAUCGUGACCAAUGACACUAACCUAUGGUUCGAGUGUCUACGAUCGCCGAUAGUAUAGUAACCUAACUGAAAGUUGGGGACGUGUCCCAAGGGAGUGGUUUUGAGAAUUGAUAGAAAAAUAAAAUUUAGCUCUAACUAGUCAUAGCUAAAGAUAUUAACGAUUAAAAACAUAGUAAAUUAAAGGGGGUGACACAAAAGUGUCAAAUAUCAAAGGGGGUUUUGUCACAAGUAGCUAAAACAACAAAAAUAAAGAGAAAAUCAAGUAUGGNNNNNNNNNNNNNNNNNNNNNNNNNNNNNNNNNNNNNNNNNNNNNNNNNNNNNNNNNNNNNNNNNNNNNNNNNNNNNNNNNNNNNNNNNNNNNNNNNNNNNNNNNNNNNNNNNNNNNNNNNNNNNNNNNNNNNNNNNNNNNNNNNNNNNNNNNNNNNNNNNNNNNNNNNNNNNNNNNNNNNNNNNNNNNNNNNNNNNNNNNNNNNNNNNNNNNNNNNNNNNNNNNNNNNNNNNNNNNNNNNNNNNNNNNNNNNNNNNNNNNNNNNNNNNNNNNNNNNNNNNNNNNNNNNNNNNNNNNNNNNNNNNNNNNNNNNNNNNNNNNNNNNNNNNNNNNNNNNNNNNNNNNNNNNNNNNNNNNNNNNNNNNNNNNNNNNNNNNNNNNNNNNNNNNNNNNNNNNNNNNNNNNNNNNNNNNNNNNNNNNNNNNNNNNNNNNNNNNNNNNNNNUAUAAUAAAUUAAACCUUGAUUUAAGCAAAGGAAGAAGAAUGGAGAAGACCCACUUCCAACUUGGGGAAGAUGAAAUCCUUCUUUCUUCAAGUCUCCCAAAAACCCUCUCCAAACUUGAGAGAAAAUAUCUCAAAAUUACUAUUCUAUUCUGAAAAGUAUAAUAAUGGUUCGGAACUUAUAAAAGUAAUAAGAAGUAUAAUAUUUAUAGCCAUUAGAAAUUAGUGUUGAAGGAUAGUUCGGCGAGGUUAGUCGAGUUCGCCGAAUAACUUGGCGACUCGCCCUUCUUCUGUCUCAUCGCCGUUUAGUGCUUGCCUUCAGCAUCUUCACAUUCUAGACCAUUGGGCGGUAUAGUACUGCUUCACAGAACUAUUCGGCGACGCGCCAACUGCUCCUUUCAUCGCCUUUUUGAUCCUCUUCUUUCAGGGCUUCGCAUACUGGAACAAAGGGCGGAGUCUGUCGUUUCGGCGAAUCGCCAAAGGUGCUUGGCGAUGCUCAGGCUUCAGCUUCUUCAUUCUUUUCAGCCUUUUUGUUCCUUUUUGUGCCUAAGUGUUCAUGCUUCCACUAAAACUUCAAAUACCUGAAGCUUAAGAGUUUUCAUCAGAUAUUGAGAAAAACUAAGCAUUCGAGGACACUAUUUCUAUCAAAAUAAAGCCCUAAAUGAGUCCAAUUUGUGGACUCAUCAACACCCCCAACUUAAACUUUUGCUUGUCCUCAACCAAACUUAAGUUCAGCCGUUCAAAAAGGGUGUCUCAAACAGUGCUACACAAGACUCAAUCAUGAGUGCACACAACACGACACAAUUUAUUUAUGCAGGAUCAAUUGUGUAGUUAAAGAUUCAAGUUGUGACACACCAUUACCAAAGAUUCUCAUGCUCGCAAUACUUGCUACCUGUGCAAGUUCAAGCUCAACAAAAAGUAUCUAAAUGCCCUCACAUAAAGAAUGAUUCCAUAUUUUACACAUAGAGGUUAAUCAAUUCAAGAUCAGGAAUCAGAUGCAACGCUCACACUCAAAAAGAGGAACACAAUGCAUGUUUUCACCCAUAGGUUUGCCCUUAUUUUCCAAUCGACUUUCGAUUCGGUUUACUCAAGAUCAAAAAGGUCUUUCUAAGGCUUGUAAUGGGGCUGAGUGCAAAGGUAUGGUCAUUUAGGCUCAAUGACUUUUUUCUCGUGAGCUGUUGUAUUCUUAAGGCAUUCCCUUCUUUUCCUUUAUCAAUUCGUUUUCUAGUGCUUCUAAGUCACCUUUUCAUUCACCUUCAUGGAUUGCUUGGAAACCUGAUUUCCUUCGUAAUUUAUUCCACAUUUUUAAGGGGUUUCCACUUUUAUGCAAUACCAUGGGUUAAGGGGGACUUUUCUUGCACUUCUUAACUUCUCCUUUUCCUUUUCACCACACCCCCAACUUAGAUUUUUUGCCUAAGUUGGCUAUUCGCUAAACCACAAAUCAAGAGGAUUGUAGGUAGUGGGUCAAGUAAGUUCUAGGGUUCAUCAAGGUUCUUCUAAAGAAAGGUAAGGCUCAAAGGGUGUUCAAAAGAGUUUCACACGCUCACCACAGGUACGCCACAAAAGAGGUAUAUGUCAAAUUUGGCUCACCCUCUUUAAAAGUUGCCUAAGAUCAUCUCAAGAGGACACCUUUCUAAAUCAAUCAGGACUAAAGGGGGCAAAUUCUAGGUUUAUUCAUGCAUGGUUCAAAGCAAGCUAAUCACACAAGGAAUUGACACAUAAGUCAAACAAGACGAAGCACUUUCGCUAGUGUGCAACGAUCAUUACAAGAGAAUCAAUUCGAUAAAUGGCUAAUCACAACGAGAUGCAAAGAGUUCACAUAUUGUUUAUGCAACUUCAUUUGGCCUCAUCGUAGCCGUACAUUCAUGUUCGUUCAAUUCAAAGCACCAUUCAAGUCAUCGGUAUUGAUCGAAACCGAGACUCAAAUUUUUGCAAAAGAACAGCCACAUUCAACUCGUGAAGGGUGGCAAAAAUGUGCAAACAAUUCAUUUUUCAAAAGGGUCAAAAUCAUUUUGCAAUUAAAAAUAAGGGGAGCCUCAAGCUCAAACAUCCACAAAAGCAGUGUAAAUACAAUUUUAAAUAGAACAACCAAAAUAUAAUCACAGAAUACGAUCAUCAAAUAGCACACAAAAGGUGGGCCUCACCCCACCACAAAUAAGAGUAUUUGUCCUCAAAUGCAAGUAAUAAGAAUCCAAUUUUUUUAAAGAUAACGAAUAACAGAGAGGGGGGUAAAGAGGGGAUCUUGGCUAUGCGGUUGCUCCAUCUGUCAUAGCAUCAGUAUUCAGAAUGACCACCAGAAGGGCAAGCUCCACUAGAUCCAACAACAGGAGACUUUGCCAAAGAAGCUUGCACAACAGCAUUUAUCAUGAUUUCUUCAGUCUCGGCUAUUUCAUCCACUGUAGCUUCCUCAAAUAUCUCCUUAUCAGUUUCUGCCUCCAAUUCAGGAUCAACUAUAUGCUCCAUUCCAACUCCAUAUCCUGCGGUAGUCUGAGGCAUUUCGGGCACAUAUGGAACUUCCACUGUUCCAAAGAUCAUGGAUAUAUCAGUGGACUUUAGGUAGUCCACAUCAUUUUUUAGCUCUGCAAUGGUGGCCUUUACAAUUGUUACUUCCUCUGCAGCUCCUUGAUCGUGCUCACACACUAACAUCCUAGCCUUUAGAGCAUCAAUAGUAGUGCUCAGUGGUAUCAUAGCAUUGUCGAGGGCAACCUGAAUCAUGCCUGGAAUGGAGCUUUUUAUGUUGGCAGUCCGACAAUUAGCAGUUUGGGCGAGCUGUCCCAUUCGGAUCAUAGAUGCUUGAGUGAUCGGUUCACAGGGGGUAACAACAACUGUAGGUCUGGGUGGUAAUGAAGCAGCAGAGGGACCUGUAAAGUCAAAAGGAGUGGUAAUGACAUCAUAUAUACUUGAAGGCCUAGGGGCCGGAGUAGGCAAAUAUGCCUCUGCAGGUAUAGAUCUAGUGGCCACAGUUUCCUUCUGUUUCUUUUCUGCCUGGUCCUGCAGAUAUUCGACUUCGAUCUUUCGGAUACUGGUGGAGGUGGUGGCAGUCAAUUCCACAUCCUUCGUUGUAUCUCCAGGCACCCGUGCUCUUUUGCAUAAUUCAGUGAUUAAUACCGGGAAAGGGAGGCCCUGCUUUGAAUGCAUAUGGAUUUCAGUGGAAAUGAUCUUCCCGAGAUUUAUCCUGGUUUUCUCCAUUAUGCAUCCAAGACAAGCUGCCUUAGCAUGACGAAGGAUUGAUCAUUCUGUGAUGGCAUAAAUGUGUUGUUGAUUAAUCCGAACCAGUAUCAUGCAACUAUGUUCAGAUUUUUCUUGUCAAUUGGAAUUCCUUCUGCUAACCAUGUCGGAGCAUUAUCAUCUGAGACUAGCGGAGCUAACCACUUUUUCAUUGCAUCCAACUUCUGUGUCCUGAUCAAGUGCUGGCAGUGGUCAUUAAUCUUAUCGGACAUUCCCAAAGCUAUGUUGAUAGUCUCACUGUCACAUGCUACCUUCCUUCCUCUGACAACCACAUGAUCAACUGCUUUAAAAGAUGAGACUAGCCUAUUUCCGUUUAGGUACUAAUGCAUUGUAUGCGUCGUAGAACUCUCUAACCCAGCUUGGUAUGUAAGAGUUGCGAUGUCUUAUGAAGAUUUGGAAUUUGUGGUAUUUCAGGCACUCCAUCACUUUUGGAUACCUAUCAAUAACCCCAUCUAUGGAAAGUCGUUUCUUCUCAAUGAUCGUUCUCAAACCAUCUGCAUUUGAUCUAUUCAUUCAUGUUUGGGACCUUGUACUGGAUGUGCCAGCACUAAUGCUUGCCCUGGAGCUGGAGGAGUUGGAGUGAUGGAUUGACUAACUUUUAUCCGAUAUGGAUCAUGUAUCCUUUUGGAUAGUAGCUCAGCCCUCAUUGCCUCUGUCUGGUAAUCUUCUUCAGACUCUGCACUCUCAAUGUUAUAUGUGGGUGGCUCAGUGGUAUAGAAGCCUAUGCUGUCAGAGCUUGCGUCGGAUAAUUUAGAGGUUUUUCCUUUCCCCUUGCGUUUUGCAGUUGUGGUAGCCUUUGCCCCUAGGUGGAGGUGCGUUUUCACUAAUCACAAUUCUCUUUUCCCUUCCUUUGGUUGAUCGUGUGGCAAUAUCUACAAAACGUUAGAGAGAUUAGUCAGUAAUUACAUUGUAGGAAAGAAUUACAGACAGAAUCGCCGAUCUAAUCAGUGAAUCGCCGAAUCUCUUGGGCGAUCAUGAAUCUGUCCGCUGAAAGUUACAGAGCCCAUAGUGCUUAAGAUAUGAAAUUAAAGGCUAUUUAGGGAUAGUAGGCGAGCCGCUGAGUGAUUCGGCGAGCUCAACUCAGCUCGCCGACUGACUUACGUGACUGAGAUUCAACUCACUUUUCAAAAUCGAUCGCAUAAACCUCAAAAACAAAAUUAAACCAUUCAUUGAUGAAAUUUAGCCCAGACCCAUAGCACCCAUUCAUGGUCAACACCCAUUAUGCAUAGUUUUCCACAUUUAGAUUCAAGGUAAGCAGAGUGAAAAAGGAAUUCGAACAGUAAAAGCAAAUAGGCCCCAAUUUACAAAUCAGAAGCAGGUACUCGAAAAUUUCUACUCAUAUCAGAGAGAUCUAACAUGCAUGAAUGGACUCCUAGAUUGCAGAUGAGGUUGAAUUAUUCAAAAGUGAACGGGGUUUUUUCAGAAACUAACCUUUUUACUGAGUAAACAAAAUUGUAAUGCUAGGCGGCAACGCAAAUCCGAGUUCCAAGUGCUAAUUCGUGACUAAAGUACUACUUUAAGGUGAGAGAAUGUAAAUUACUACCUUGGUGUGAACUUAUGGAGUUUGAAAGUGAGAAAGAAUGAAGAAGUGUAGCUGAUGGCAAUAUAUGUUGUUCAAUUUGUGUCCAUUUGGUGACGUUACUCGCGCUUGCCAACCCACUCAGCGAUUCACCGAGUUUUACAGGCUCUGUACAACUCUUGUAUUGAGCCAAACGGUGGAUCCAUUCAGGUUCGCGGACCUAUUUGGCGACUCGCGGAAUGGACUUUCUGCUCGCCAACCUGAAAUUUUCCAUAAUUUCCUCAUUUUAACCUGCAACACAACACACCAUUAUUCAUAAAAGUAAAAUCCUAAAAGCUUAAGACCUUGGGUUUCCUCCCAAGAAGCGCCUUAUUUAUCAUCAUGGGACGACGCAAAUCUUUGCUCAAGUUUCGUUGUUGGGGUUGGCCAGGUCCUUAUUAGGCCACCCCCUGUUUCUCUGUGGAUGGAGUUGAGGCAACGCAUGCCUCAUCAGGUCCUCGAGCAGUUGGAAAACUUUAGAAUGAGACCAAAUAAUUUGUUUUUCAUUCCUUAGAUGUCUUCUUUCAAUCCCUCCAACUCUUUGUCUUGCUCGAUCACCUUGCGGAGAAUUGUUGAAAGCAUUUCCUCGAUGCGCUUGAUCUCCUUGUUCUCAUUGUUUCUUCUAUUAUGAGGGGGAAUGUAUUUAUCCUUCCUUUUUCAAUGAGCUUCGACCUUCACCAUAUUUCUUUUUCAUUCAUCCAUUUUAGUCAUUAGUGCGGUCAUCAAGAGAUCCUUUUCAACCUCUUGGCUCAUUUUAGCCAUAUUGUCAAGCAGUUGGACUGUUAUUAUAUAUGGCUGCUUUAAUGUUCCGCCAGGAAGGAGUUGGUCAACCAACAUCUAUUUUCUGGGGCCAAGACUUCGGUACAAGCAAUCAAGGAGGAUUGUACCAGGAAGUUCAUAAGUGGGGCAUUGAGUUAGCAGUUCAUUGAAUCUUGCCCAUGUCUCAUGGAUCCACUCAUCCUCUAAUUGCUUGAAGGUUAGGAUACGAUCCCGAUACAUCAUUACCUCUAAUUGAGGAAACUCCAUUAGCCCCCGAAUAUUUCUUGCUUUCCCUUGUUUAGAUUCCGACAAAUCACAAAACAAAACUAAGAAUUAAGUUAGUGAACUACAAUUAAGAAGAACAUAAACUCUAUGAAACUAAAAAUUCUCAAAUAACACCACUCCCCGGCAACGGCGCCAUUUUGAUGCUUAUCGUGACCAACGACACUAACCUACGGUUCGAGUGUCUACGAUUGUUGAUAGUAUAGUAACCCAACUAAAGGUUGGGGUUGUGUCCCAAGGGAGUGGUUUUGAGAAUUGAUAGAAAAAUAAAAUUUAGUUCUAACUAGUCGUAGCUAAAGACAUUAUCGAUUAAAAACAUAGUAAAUUAAAUGGGGAGACACAAAAGUGUCAAAUAUCGAUUAGGGGUUUAGUCACAAGUAGUAAAAACAACAAAAAUUAACAAGAAAAUCAAGUAUGGGGAAAUGUUCUUGGGGUGUGACCGCAAUACAAGUUGAGAUAAAUCGUUGAGUACAUGCUUUCAAUAGGAAAUUUGCAAGAUAAUAGUGACUAGGCUAAGCUUUAGAUGGAAAUAAGUUCCCUCUCGGGCAACUUACCCCGUUUCAAAUAGGUUCUUCUCAGACACCCAUUUGCCGCAUGAAGACCAGCCUAUGCCUUACCCCAUCACUCUCUCGAGCUGAGUGUUAGGAUAUAGUACUAGGGCUCACCCUCUCGUGCUGAACCUCAUGUCGACCCACUCCUUAGGCAAUCAAUCUAGUGGUCUUGGUUUCGCGACCUCCCUCUCGGGCAAGCCGAAAACACAUGGGUGGCUUUGUAUUUGCAACUUAAAACCCAUUAAAUUAAACCACAAACACUAGGUGAAAUAACCAUUAAAAUACAUCUAACUUAUCAGCAAGCAAAACCCAACAACAAUUGCAACACAUAUUUGCUAAAUCACUCCCCAAGAAUGGGGUUUUUAGCAACACAUCAAGAAAUAACAAAAUACAUCUCAAAAUGAUACUAGAAUCAAAUGGGUAUAAGAAAUUAAACCUUGAUUUAAGCAAAGGAAAAAGAAUGGAGAAGACCCACUUCCAACUUGGGAAAGUUUAAAUCCUUCUCUCUUUAAGUCUCCCACAAAACCCUCUCCAAACUUGAGAGAAAAUAUAUCAAAAGUACUAUUCUAUUCGGAAAAUUAUAAUAAUGGUUCGGAACUGAUAGAAAAUAAUAAGAGGUUUAGUAUUUAUAGCCAUCAGAAAUUAGUGCUGGCGGAUAGUUUCGCGAGGUUUGUCGAGUUCACCGAAUGACUCGGUUACUCGCCCUUCGUCUGCCUCAUCGCCGUUUAGUUCUUUCCUUCACCAUCUUCACAUUCUGGACCAUUGGGUGGUAUAGUACUGCUUUGCGGAACUAUUCGGUGACGCGCCGACUGCUCCUUUCAUCGCCUUUUUGAUCCUCUUCCUUCAGGGUUUCGUAUACUUGAACAAACGGCGGAGUCUGUUGAUAUACCGUGAGUUUACGGUAUUUCUAAUAUGUUUCACUUACAAGUUGUGUGUGUCUAAGGCCCUUUUAUAUUGGGUUUGAUGUGUUUUUAUCAUGUUUUGCAGGAAAGACGUUCAGGCGCGGAAGUGUAGAGACAACUGAAAUAAAUGUAGAAGAAAGGCAUUCACGGAGGUGAUCUACGGACCGUAGGUCCAUUCACGGUCCGUAGGUGAUGACCGUAGAUCAGCAGGCAAGGCAUGNNNNNNNNNNNNNNNNNNNNNNNNNNNNNNNNNNNNNNNNNNNNNNNNNNNNNNNNNNNNNNNNNNNNNNNNNNNNNNNNNNNNNNNNNNNNNNNNNNNNNNNNNNNNNNNNNNNNNNNNNNNNNNNNNNNNNNNNNNNNNNNNNNNNNNNNNNNNNNNNNNNNNNNNNNNNNNNNNNNNNNNNNNNNNNNNNNNNNNNNNNNNNNNNNNNNNNNNNNNNNNNNNNNNNNNNNNNNNNNNNNNNNNNNNNNNNNNNNNNNNNNNNNNNNNNNNNNNNNNNNNNNNNNNNNNNNNNNNNNNNNNNNNNNNNNNNNNNNNNNNNNNNNNNNNNNNNNNNNNNNNNNNNNNNNNNNNNNNNNNNNNNNNNNNNNNNNNNNNNNNNNNNNNNNNNNNNNNNNNNNNNNNNNNNNNNNNNNNNNNNNNNNNNNNNNNNNNNNNNNNNNNNNNNNNNNNNNNNNNNNNNNNNNNNNNNNNNNNNNNNNNNNNNNNNNNNNNNNNNNNNNNNNNNNNNNNNNNNNNNNNNNNNNNNNNNNNNNNNNNNNNNNNNNNNNNNNNNNNNNNNNNNNNNNNNNNNNNNNNNNNNNNNNNNNNNNNNNNNNNNNNNNNNNNNNNNNNNNNNNNNNNNNNNNNNNNNNNNNNNNNNNNNNNNNNNNNNNNNNNNNNNNNNNNNNNNNNNNNNNNNNNNNNNNNNNNNNNNNNNNNNNNNNNNNNNNNNNNNNNNNNNNNNNNNNNNNNNNNNNNNNNNNNNNNNNNNNNNNNNNNNNNNNNNNNNNNNNNNNNNNNNNNNNNNNNNNNNNNNNNNNNNNNNNNNNNNNNNNNNNNNNNNNNNNNNNNNNNNNNNNNNNNNNNNNNNNNNNNNNNNNNNNNNNNNNNNNNNNNNNNNNNNNNNNNNNNNNNNNNNNNNNNNNNNNNNNNNNNNNNNNNNNNNNNNNNNNNNNNNNNNNNNNNNNNNNNNNNNNNNNNNNNNNNNNNNNNNNNNNNNNNNNNNNNNNNNNNNNNNNNNNNNNNNNNNNNNNNNNNNNNNNNNNNNNNNNNNNNNNNNNNNNNNNNNNNNNNNNNNNNNNNNNNNNNNNNNNNNNNNNNNNNNNNNNNNNNNNNNNNNNNNNNNNNNNNNNNNNNNNNNNNNNNNNNNNNNNNNNNNNNNNNNNNNNNNNNNNNNNNNNNNNNNNNNNNNNNNNNNNNNNNNNNNNNNNNNNNNNNNNNNNNNNNNNNNNNNNNNNNNNNNNNNNNNNNNNNNNNNNNNNNNNNNNNNNNNNNNNNNNNNNNNNNNNNNNNNNNNNNNNNNNNNNNNNNNNNNNNNNNNNNNNNNNNNNNNNNNNNNNNNNNNNNNNNNNNNNNNNNNNNNNNNNNNNNNNNNNNNNNNNNNNNNNNNNNNNNNNNNNNNNNNNNNNNNNNNNNNNNNNNNNNNNNNNNNNNNNNNNNNNNNNNNNNNNNNNNNNNNNNNNNNNNNNNNNNNNNNNNNNNNNNNNNNNNNNNNNNNNNNNNNNNNNNNNNNNNNNNNNNNNNNNNNNNNNNNNNNNNNNNNNNNNNNNNNNNNNNNNNNNNNNNNNNNNNNNNNNNNNNNNNNNNNNNNNNNNNNNNNNNNNNNNNNNNNNNNNNNNNNNNNNNNNNNNNNNNNNNNNNNNNNNNNNNNNNNNNNNNNNNNNNNNNNNNNNNNNNNNNNNNNNNNNNNNNNNNNNNNNNNNNNNNNNNNNNNNNNNNNNNNNNNNNNNNNNNNNNNNNNNNNNNNNNNNNNNNNNNNNNNNNNNNNNNNNNNNNNNNNNNNNNNNNNNNNNNNNNNNNNNNNNNNNNNNNNNNNNNNNNNNNNNNNNNNNNNNNNNNNNNNNNNNNNNNNNNNNNNNNNNNNNNNNNNNNNNNNNNNNNNNNNNNNNNNNUGUCCUACCUCCUCUACCUUCAGGACACACAUUUGUGGUGACUAGUAGUUUGAUGCAGAUGCUUACAGCAAGAGGUUUAUUCUCAGGAUCGCCGUCGGAGGAUCCACAUGCUCACUUGGCCAAGCUAAGGGUGGUUUGCAAAAGUUGUGUGGGUAGACCAGACUUGGAUAUGAAUGUCAUUGGAUUACGAGUGUUCCCUCUUUCACUGACAGGCGAUGCUGCAGUAUGGUUCACUGAGCUUCCGUAUAACUCAAUAUUCACGUGGGACCAACUGGCUGAGGUGUUCAAAGCAAAGUACUAUCCGGUGUCCAAGAAGCUCAAUCACAAAGAUAGGGUCAACAAUUUUGUGGCAUUACCUGGAGAGUCCGUGAGUAGCUCGUGGGACAGAUUCACUGCCUUUGUUAGAAGUGUCCCAAAUCACCGUAUUGAUGAAGAGUCACUUAAGGAAUAUUUCUAUCGAGGACAGGAUGAUAACAAUAAAACAGUACUUGACAUUAUUGCCGGAGGUUCAUAUGGUGAUUGUACAUAUGCACAGAUUUCUGAAAAAUUGGAGAGGAUCUCUCGCAACAAUAAAACAUGGAUCACUAGGAGGUCAGAUACUGGGAGAAACACAUUUGCCGUUCAUAAUACCACUGACAAUUCUGCAGAUGAAAUUCGUGAGGAGAUGGCCCAGAUAAGGACAGACUUGGGAUUGGUAUUGAAGCAUGUGAGCGGAGGAGCAGAAAAGGUAAAUGUUGUGAACUACGUAACUAGAACUCCACCACAAUUGAAGAAUGCUACUAUGAAGAGGAUGCUUAUGCUGUGAAUGAUCAGACGGGGGUUUUCGACCAAAUGCCCAAGGAUCCAACACGGAAAAUUGGUGCCAAGGUCAAGGAAACCAAGGUCGGAACUAUGGAAAUUACAACCGAAAAGGUCACUAUGUCCGGGAUGGGAACUUCAAUCGCGACAACAACUAUAACAGGAAUAGCUACGGCAACAGAAAUGAUCGGGUUUGGCGACACUAUGCCACCACCCGAUCUUUCCCGUGUUACUAAAAAGUGCCACCGCUCCAAUCACACUUCCGACACUGAGGAAGCUCGACGACUGAAGAAGACGGAGCGCCAGCAGUUGGAGACAGCCCAAAGGCAGUCCAUCAUUGAUGAGGAGAGGAGGCAGUUGUGGGUUUGAGAUAUAGAUGUUUGCCCUUCAGAUUCGAGGAGCACUACUGCUGGUGUUCUCAUUGUUGGUGAGGGCGCUACUGAUGGCGUCCCUAGUAUUGAUCCAGUGGGUUCCGGUAAACCGGACCCACCCACUUCUUGAUGGGUCUUCAGCGCAUUUGUGCUAUAGGUUUUCUUCACCCUAUGCUUUACUUUUUAUUUUGUGCAUUGAGGGUAAUUGCACCUUAUUUUGUUGGGGUGGGGUAAAUGAUUGUGAGUGAUAGGGUGAAGUCUGCAUAACUCAACUCAUAAUCCUCUCUGGGGGUUUUCUUUCCUGUGUUAUUUUCCCCCAAGGGACUAUUUACUUUUAUGUUGAACCGACAUGUUUAGCAUUGUAUGUGUAGAAGUAACUAAAAGAAUGAAAGCAUGAUGGUAUAAAAAGCAUGAAAUUGAUACUGGUCCAAAAUUUUUGAAAUGUGCUAGAUCUAUAGGCUGAAUGAGUUGAAUGUGUUGGAUCUAUAUGACAUGAUAAGGAACCGGUGUGAUAGCAUAACUUAAGCUAAAACUUGAACUGGGUAACUCGAUAAUCCGAUAAUGAAACAAUGUGCCAAGUGUGUGUGAGAAAAGUUUGAAUGUUCAUGCAAUAUGUGCCAAUCUAGAACUUGCCCUAUUGGUUCUGCUAAGAUAAUCUAGGCUAGAAGUUGGGAAAUGAUCAUAGGCCCUUGUUCAAAUAAGUCCACUCAAGCCUAAAAGUCAACCAAAAGAAAUAAAUUCUCCCUUUGAUCCAAAUGUUUGAGCCUAAUGAAUAACACUUCUUUCAAUACACCUAAUUCACCUUCCCUAAAAAGAUUGUUUUGGCCACGGUCCCUCCUUGGACAUGUGCACCUUCACUUAGGCCAAAAGCCUAAGUUGAGGGUGGCUAAGGAUCCAUUUGUUUUUUGAAGUAGCCUAAAAGAAAGAUAUAACCACUUGAAAAUGGUUAUACAUCCAAAGGCAUGAUAUGAUUGGAUGCAUCUAAGGCUACAAGACUUUAAGUCUAUACAUGAGUAUAAUUCUGCCAUGUUCAGCAUCACUUCUCAGUUGAAACUAUGUGAAGAAACGGUUAGUGAAAUUAAUAUGAUGGAAACGACGUUCUCCACUUUUCAUGCCUCGAAUGUGCUCUUGCGGCAACAAUAUUGAGAGAAAGGUUUCAAAAAAUAUUCUGAACUAAUUUCUCAUCUUCUCGUGCUGAGAAAAAUAAUGAUUUAUUAAUGAAAAAUCAUGAGAAUUGGCUUACUAGAUCUGAACCACUUCCUGAAGUGAAUGAGGAGUACGCCCACCAUGCUAGGUGUGGAAAAGGUCGUGGCCUCGUCGUGGUCCUGGACGUGAACAUGGUCGUGAUUAUGGUCAAGAACGAAAAUAUUUGAUUAAAAUUGUAUUGCUUGUCAUUAUUCUCUCUAUCUAAUAAUAAAAAUAUAAACGAUACUGAACUAUCACUUCAUCGAUAUAAGUAAAAAACGAAUUCAACUAAAAACAAUUUUUAAAAUACCUAUAUCAAAUCUCACGAAGAAAUUAUUGUUUUGAAAUAAUGCUCCAAAUUUGUAACUAUGUACUAGUAUACAAAAGAAAAUGAAUACAUAGAAUGCAACGGUAUUACGAUAAUACAUAUAACUAUGUAUGAUAAUAAUGAUAAUUAUAGCUAGAGAAAUAUGAUAACCCCUAAACUAUAAUCAUUUAUGUUAGUUUCUCAACGAUUAAUUCAAUUAUAUUAGUCAUCUUAUUUAGAAUAUUUUCUUGAAUUUAGUAUAGUCCAAAUUAUUUUAUGGAUAAAUUCAACAUAAUUUUAAUACUUAAAUAGUUACUUACACAACAAAAUAAUCAAAAUUUUGAUAUUGCAUAAAUUUCUUAAAAUAAUCAGCCAAACUAAACCAUUAACAUCCCUAUUCUAUAAAUUAAAUAGGACUUUUAAAGUUAAAUUGUCUUUAUAGAUCAAUCUAAGUCAAAAUUUCUUAUCCAAUAUAACACAAUUAUUGUUUAUUACACAAAAUGACCAUUCACUCUUUCUUUUUUGUUGGUGAGGUACAUCGGUCAUUCCUUAUUCAUGUUGACAAUUUGUCCAAUUGCCCAUUUUUUGACUAUUUACAAAUAAUUCUAGCCUUAACGGUAGACACUACAAAUCGAUUAAAGAGAUUUAUUCGGUUUAGAAUUUGAUCUACCGCAGAUGUGAAUUAUUUUAAGUAAAUAAUAGGGAAAAGGGUAAAAAAUAUCCCUCAACUUUGUUUUAUUGGUUGAUUACGCCCUUACCGUUAAAAUGAAGUUAUUUUUACCCCUGCCGUCACUAAUUUCACCAUGUAUGCCCCUCAAUUGGAUGGAAAGCCCCAAAUCAAUCAAACUUACCCAAUUUAACCCGACCCACCUAAUAUUAUAACCCAUUUUUGUUCAUCUUCUCCCUCUUUUCUUCUCAAAAAAUUCGUUCUUCUCUUUUUAUAUCCACUUUAUUAGCCUUAAUCAUCUUUUUUUUAUCAUCAUUAUUCUUUAUAAUGAAGUAUUUUCUUUCAUUUUUACCCAAUCUCAUCCCAAACUCUCUAGCUCUAAUUACAAUUCCAUCUCAAGAUUAGUCAGUGAGUAAUUCAAAAGCACACAAUUUUUUUUGCUACAAGAAUAUAGCCACCACCUGCGCCGUUGUAAUCUUAGCCGGAAUUUUUCUGUUCCACCAGCAGUACAGUUGUCCACAAGUAGAGAAGAUGACGAAGAUGAAAUGGUAGAAAUUGGAGGGUCUUCAACCAAACACCCUUCCUCUUUCAGCAACCAAACAACAACCACCCCCACUGUUCAGACUUCCAAGCCACCACAAUCUUCUAUUCUCCUCAUCUCCGUCUUCGACAAGCAACUACCAAUCAACAACCAGUAAACAAAACCCAAUAUGAAACAACCAAAACCCACUCUUUCGACUUCCUCCAGACCCACAUCACGAAUAGUGUCCAUCCGCCUCCGCGAAAUCCCAACUCUGAUAGACCGGAGGAAAUCAACAACGAUGAAUUAGAGCUCCAAGAUCCAGUAAUUCCGACAAUUUUUUAGAUCUGACUAUAAAAUAAUGCUCCGAUUACCUAUAUUUAAUCAUUGUUGUGUUCUUGUGUUUUUGGAUUCAUAGUCAUUAUUACAUUAUUUUCGAUAUUGUUGGGUUGUGUCGGAUGAUUUUGUUGUUUUUGAAAAUGAACACAAGUUUAAAGAUGAAGAUGAAAAAAAUGGGUUGUAUUUUCAGGUCGGGUUGUGGAUAAUUUAAAUAAAAUUGGGUAAUUUUAAUUGAUUUGGGGCUUUUCAUCCAAUUGAGGGGCACAAAUGGUGAAAUUAGUGACGGUAGGAGUAAAUAUAACUUCAUUUUAACGGUAAGGGAAUAGUCAACCAAUAAAAUAAAGUUGAGGGGUAUUUUUAACCCUUUUACCUAAAUAAUAUAUUAAAAGACUCAAAAUAACGAGAGGAGCUCAUAUUUAAAAUUUGGAAUUGUUUAGAGGAGAUUUGAGUUGAUCGAGAUUUUAGAAAAUUAGCUUGUGUAGGGAAGAUGAACUAUUAAAGAUUAUAAAUAUUGUAUAAACAAUGUACAUGGAUGUAUGUACAUUUAUGAUACAUAGUUAUAUAUCAUAUAUACUCGAUUAUACACUAUUUAUACAAUACCAAUUCAUUACAUAUACAUACACUCAUUAAUUGAAACUAUUUUGGGCCAAUGGUAUAUUUAUGCAAUCCCUUUAAAAAAGGCAGGUGUCUUAUGCCUGCAAAUUCAAGGGGGGCUAUUAUGUGCAAGUAAUAAUAGGCUAUAUGUUUUUUUUAAGAAAAAAUAUUGAGUACCGAUUUUUUUGGUUUAUUGAGUACUUUUUGUAGAAAAAGUAAAGUUUUCAUAUACAAAACAAAUAUUAUUAGGAGUUUGACACAUCUAGAUUACUAUGUCUCAAGAGAGAUGUAUUAUCAAUUGAAAAUGAAUUAUUAGGAAAAAAUAAUUAAUUAUGAGAAAACUAUUAAUUUUGCAUCUCAAAAAGCUAGAAGGACAUACUUUAUAAAAAAUAUAAUAUUUUUUGAAAAAGUUUAAGGCCUCUUUGUAUUUUGCUUUAGGCCACUAGUGUGCUUGAGCCGCCUUGCUAACACGUAAUAAGACCAAAAAAAAACACAAGUAGGGACAAUGGGAUAGGGCAAGUUUGAGCUUUUGCGGAGGCAUGGUGAGGUGGAUUCAAUUUUUAAAAAAUAAUCAGGUACGGCGAGGCAGGGCGAGUUUGCAGGUUGCAAAUUGAAAUCUUAAACUAAAACUAAAACAUAAAAUCUAAAAUCAUUUCAAUCAAGUUGUUAUUCAUUAGGAUUCCUUAAUAUCAAUCCAUAUAUUCCAAUUGUUUUUAAUGGUUUUUUUAGUUUACUAAUUGUCAAUGUUAAAUCAAACAUAAACUACUUUCACUAUUCGAAUUAGAUAUUCAUCAAUAACUAUAAGAAAGAGUAGUAAAAGUUGUAAGGAAAAAAUCAUUUAUAAAUUCUAGUCUAAUAUGACCAUUCCAAAAGAAAACAUUAUAACCAUUUUGAAAGGAGCCAAGUUAGCAAAUGAGACCUCUUUCAUGUAAAUAUUAUUUUUUUCAAGCAGAAUAAGGAGAAGAAUUCACAUAUUGCUCCCAUAAAGUCAGAGUCUUCACAACUUUAUGCAGCUUUGCCUCGCCCAGCCAUUUGCAAUCGCUAAACAAAAGAUACCUUCUCACAGAAGUCAAGUUUCAGAAGGUUGGCAUUUCUUACAUCUGUUUAGAAGAAUAUUGUAUAUCACAUGUACAAGUUCAACCCAAAAAUUUGCAUAUCACUUGGCACCAAAGCUGCAACCAACAUAAUUUUGGGCAAUUAUGUUAAGACGAUUUUGCAUGACAUCCAUAGACGGAUAAGGAGGAAAACACAGGCGGUAAAAGCACGUGUGCAAGGAAGGCAAGCAAUCAUGAGAGUUUGAAGUUCAGUAGAUGUAAAGUUUAGAAUCUAAAGUUUAGAAUCUAGACCACCAAAACCCUCAAUAGGCAGAGACUUGAUUGAAGUCCAGAAGAAGAGAAGCACAUUUCUCUGCUCAGCCGACAUACUUCCAACUAUCUGCAGCAACAGAAAAGAAAACUUUGAAAAUGUUGUUGGGAUAAUAACUUUGAAAGAGUUGAGAAAUCUACCACAUCCAAAAACGAAUGAAGAAAGAGAAAAUCAAAGGGGCAAAGGUGUAGACUUCUCGAUAGUUAAUACUCUGGAAAUAUAAUUAAAGCAAACAACAAAUAAGUACCUCCCAGGACCAGGAUAUUUGAGGAUCAUUUUUUUGUAGCCAUUGUAAUUUGUAUGUUCUUUCCAGUCUUCUACAGAAACAACAAUUUUACUCCCAUGAAGCAUCAUGUUAAGGUCUUCAUGAUCUAGGAUCCGGAACAAGGAUUUCUGAAGCCGUCGAUCAGUAAUUAUGUCAGCAAAACCACGAUCAAAAUGGGCUACAUGAUGAGCAAUUGAUGUGAUAAAACGGUGUUUAACAAAAGAUUAACAUAGUUAUUCCUAUUCUCACUAUUCACUAUCGUAUUUUUCCCAUUAGGGCAAACUCCACAACUUUCCUGGAUCCCAAUUCUUUCAUCUUCACAAACAAAUGUUAGGCCUAGGAUAUCUCCAUCCACCAUCUUCGUAUCCAUCUCCAGUAUCUUCUUGCAGCCACUGUACAAGUAGGGAUCUGCAUCCCUAAUGUCUUCAAACGAAAUAUCCUCUCCUGCUAAUUGCAAAAAUACCACACGAUCAAACGCAAUGCUUAUUUAUACUCUAUGCAACAAGGCCAACGCAAUCAUCAUGUCGGAGAAGAUAAAAUACUCAAGGUGCAAGGGGUCCACCUUAGAUACUGCAAGCACAGAAUGCAGAUGAGGGUUUUUUGCGUUGUAACAGAGAGAAUAAUAUUACUUUUCGUGAAACAUCAAAAGAUUGUAUCGAACAACCUCAACCAUCUUAUAAAUGCAGCUGUGCAAGAUUCAUCCUAAUCUAGAGAACUCUGAUGGAGUAAAUUCCCAGUUGUUAUAAACGAACAAAAAAUAAUAAUACAACUAGUAACUACUCAUUCUUAUGCCAUACAACCCAAUUACACUAAUGCAGCUUCGUUGAGAAAGAUAUCUAGGUAGAACUGCUAUGGCCAUAAAUAAGACUUGAACUCUUUCAAUCGUUACUUCAUGAAUUUCAUCUGAUUGCAAGGUGUUAUUGGAGAAUCAGAGAACGAAAGGACAUUAACAAUAACACAAUAAAAUAUACUAACAUGAGAAAUAAAUUGAGACAAAAUCAAAUUUAAAAUCUCAGCAUGUUAGAAUGGCUAAAUCUCCUCAAGCUGGCAUUAUAAAUAUAUAUCAGCAUCUAUUCGUGCACACACCAACUUUCACUCCCUUAAAUACAUCAGGUGUCGCAUAUUUACAACAUACUUUAGGGAUCCGGCCAGGCACAAUGAAUGCUGAAACCUAUUUCCAACAUCCAACAAAUCCAGACAAUAACAUAGUAUCGAGAAGAAAUCAAAUCCAGAAAAUAUAUUAAGUAAAAGCCUUGAAAGUCCUAUAGAAAGAGACAUUGCUCAAAAACUUGUAACGGAAGGAUGAAAAUUAUUGGAAAAAGAGACAAAAGGAAACAAAAACUUAGCUUUUCUGCAGGACAGUAAAUGAACUUAUGAAGUCUAGUAUGGUUUCACUGUGAUUUACAUUUACCAUGAAACACCAAAAAUUAUGUAUUUGAGUUCAAACCAAGAGUAUGUUCUUUCUUUUUCAGCGAUGUAUCAUUGAAUCUUCUCUCUAGAUGAUCCACAAGAUUGCUGCUGAAAUGGUAUCCCAAGUCUUUAUUAUAAGAUAUCAUUUGUACUGACCAUGUAAGAAACUCUGCUGCAGUCUUGUCAUGAUCCGAUCCUAACCCUAGCAUGUUAAAGAUCCUGCUCCAUAUAUGCGCUACUUUUUUGCAAUGGGGGAAAAGAUGAUUCAUCGAGAAAUUAUUCUAUCUGAGAUAUACCUCCUUGGCAAACUACAGAAGGGAAAAACCUACCUUUGAUCAAGAGUGUAUAGAAAGACUUAAUAGUAAAUAGACCAUUUGUUUGUCCUUCCAAAUCACAAUACUAGGCAUGGGCAGUAGGUUGGGGCGGCUGCUCAGUUGUGCUAAAAGUUGUCCUAAUUGUUUCUUCCUUCUUUUGGGUCGGCUACAUAGUUAAAGAAAUCUGAUAAGGGGAGUGUGGCAGCAAUUUGAUACAUGAAAAGAUGCUAAGCAAACUGAAAUUCCAUUUUUAGCAGGUAUUAUCUUUCCAUAUCAAGAUCUUUUUUUCCCUAUCCUCAACCCUUGAAUAAUGAAUAGUGCAUGUCUCUGUAGUUCCUUCCAUAAACCUCCAAUAUGUGUCCUCAUUCCUUUAUCUUUAGUUAUACAAGUUCCAUUUGUCUUACCAUUACUUUAAAUAGAUUUAAUGCACUUUGGAAUUACUUAUGUAGCAACGAAUUAGUAAAACCCUCAGACAUGGGUUUCAUGAAAGAGACGAACCUCAAAGAAUGCUAUGAGGGUAUGAACAGCAACAUCAAGCAACCUUACAUGGUUUACAUAAAGAGAGAUAAUACGUAUACUCAUACUCACAAAGAUUCAACCUCUAUCUCAUACUAUUUAUCUAUUUUUGAGGAAAAAUCAAAUAAGAAACAUCUUUCAUACUCGACAACUUUAGAUCAAAAAACUGACAGAAGGGAUAUAUGAGAACAAAAUGCCAACAAAAUCUUACCUGGAUUUGGGAAAAACCUUCUGCCUUCAUUUGGGCAUGAAACAAAUAGAGCAUUCUGAAGGUUGAAAAUGGCUUGCCAUACCAAGGAAAACUACUCCCUCAACACACCAGGCCCCGUAGCUUCUUCAUUCUCAAAUUGCAUAAAUAACUGGCCUCGCAGCGACCUAGGACUCGCAUGUCCAAUGUACUCAAAUGAUUCUUCAAAAAAACGAGACCUGCAAAUGAGCAUCUCGUAAAACUCCUCGUUCUUGUGCCUCCCUUCUCGAAGCAUCUUCAAGGCAAAACGUUGCCUUAUCUUAAAAUGUGUUACCUCCUUGUGCUCAAUAAUCCACUGAUAAUCUAUAGACUUUUUUGACAGUCUAACUAUCAGAAAGCACAAUUCAACCCUUCUUUGCCUCAUCUUCUCCCAAAACAUUUCCUCCAAACCCUUAUACAACUUUGAAAUGCUUUCUAACUUCUUUAGAAUCAAAAGAUACUGGGACCAACAGCUUACAAUAGGCUCACCUCUUUCUUUGUUUAUCAAACCCAACUGGCUUUCCAGUUUCUUUAGACAUAACUCUAAUUUUUCCAGCAAGUCCAAAAAACCACGAUGCACGCCUUCAAUCUCCAAUCUUUCAUUUCCUGCUCCACCUUGCAUCAAGGAAGGGAAACUGACCAGAAUGUCGAAUGCUUCUUGAUGCCGUAUUGCACUCUUUACCAGAUGCAUAAACUUAAUAAACUCGUGCACAUUGCUUUUUGAUAACUCUAUAAACUCAGUCGAUUGCACACUCAAUUCUAAAGCACACGAUAACCUUGUUGUCAUCUCAUGAACAAAAGGGAAAACAUCAUGCAAUCUUAACACAUACUUGACAUUAUGGACAUACCACUCCAUCAUUGCAGCUAAACUACUCCGGCAAAAUAUAUACAAUGCAUCAUCAACACCCACAGCCCCUCUAAGAAUCUUACAGAACUCAAACAAUAUAGGAGCAAACAGCCUAUAUACGGUUACAGGGUUGACGAAAAGUGUCUUACCUGAAUCUACAAAUUGAUGAAUACAUUCAUGAGCAGGUUGUUUCUUAGUUACAGAAAGAGAUACAUAAAGUUUUACCAGAGCCGCAGGAACAGAGGAGUGAAUAAAUAUCUGGAUAUAUUCCUCCGAUUUAUCUACGCCAUCUUUUGGGGUCAUUUCGAGAAAAUUGGUAAGCAUCUUCAUCAUACGGGUGACAUUAACAUUAAUAUAUAUGUUGUCAUUGCAGUUGCAGAGGUCAUGAAUAGGCGAAUUUAAGUCAUUUAUUAGCUUCCACGUGUAAGGAUGGCGCGAGUUGCGCAUUCUCCCGACGAGUUGUAGGGUAAUGUCAUCUUGUAUACCAUAUUCCGAUAAUUGUUGGGCUAACUGAAGCUUUUUCCCGCGGUAGAUUAAACGUUAUUCAAUUGCUGGUACACUGGAGGUCAAUUGGAUCGGUCGAAUUCCGAUGAUCGACUGAAUUUUCCGGUGAACUGAUGCAACUGUAUCGGACGAAUCAACUUGAAUAACCAGGGUUUUGCCGCUGAAAAACAUACGGCCGAAGAAUUGAAUGGGAGUUUUAGAGAAAGAGGGAGGGUUUAGUCAUGAGUCAUCCUGGCUGCGCCGGCGACAAAAUAAUCAUGGAGGCGUUUGGUGCUAGUUUUGUGAGGCAACUGAUACGCCAUGGUAAGUGCAGAUGAGCAAGAAGAGAGAAGAGUUUUGAGCUCUGAUAUGUUAUAUAAGAAACAAGGAGUCUUCAGGUGAGAGGUGUAGUUAGACAAUAUUUGUAUGAGAUCCUCUCAUACUUUGCCAAGUGUAGUUUGGGUCCCACUACAAAAAAAAAGGCUAAAAGGCUCCAUUUUUUAUUCUCUUUCGCCUAUUCAAUAUUUUCUUCUUCUCUUUUUCCCUUUCUUUUUGAAAUUUUAUAUUUUUCGUAUGAAUUAUAUUUAUUUAUCAAAAGUUGAAACUUAAUAUUUUUGGUAGGAUUAGCUGUGAUUUAGUUUGGACCAUUUUUCAAUAAAUUAAUUAAUUUGUUUUUUUUCAAAUGUUGAAAUCAAGUCAAAUUAAUUAAGUCAGAUUUUUUAUCACUUUAUUUUUUAUUUUAUUUUUUUGCAAUUUGGUUUUUGUCGACUUUUAGAAAAUAUAUGAUAAUAUAAAAAAUUGAUCUAGUUAUAUAUAGGAUCCUUCAAAAAAAAAUGUUUUAGCAUUAUCUAAGAAUUUAAUCAUUACUAAUAAAUAUGAUAAAUUCGUUCCAACGAUUUUUUUGUCAAAAAGUUAAAAAUUUAGCUGCAAUAUACUAUGUCUUGAUGAUGUUUGAUUUAAAUAAAAAUAAUCAAUUAAAAAACAUGAGUUAUUUUGAACAUGAAAAUGCACUCUUGACAAUCAAGAUAAAAAUAUAAAUUAAAUUACGAAGUAAAUGCAAACAAUUUGAUUAUUAUAAAGAGAAACACAUGAAUAGAACAAAGUGGUUUUAAAAAUUAACAAAUAUAUAUAUAUAUAUAUAGACAGAGAGUGAGAAAAUUAUAAUUAGUACGGACCAUUAAUUAGUAGAACAAUAUGAUGAAAAAUUCUACAUUAAAAAAUCAAUGUAUAAUCUUUUUAUAAAUGAACACAAAAACGAAUAACUCCACAAAAUAUCUAAAUUAUCAUAUUCCUUAUAUAUCAUUCUAUAAGAUACUUACAGGAAUAUAAAAUUUUCAAUUUUAUGAAAUUAAUACGAAAAUUUUUACAUUUUUUUAAUUGUAACUUCAAUUUCUUUCAAGAAUUAAAUUGAAACACAAAGUUGUUAUCAGAACUAAUUUCAAAGAAGAAUUACACGCAAAACUUCCCCAAACCUUCUAUAAAAGGAUUGAGAAGAUGCAAGACCUCUAAGUUUCAUGAACCCACAAUAAAAAAAAAGGAUAAAUAAUUUACAGAUGAUGUCAUUUAUCCUUUAUCAACUGGAAAUGGUGAUUACCGAGCGACUCAUACUAAUACAAAUGUCCCUUGUAUGAUGAAGAUGCUUAUCAUGUUUUUCACUAUGACCCUAAAGGAUGAACUGGAAAAGGUGAAGUAGGAAAAGGUAAGGCAUCAAGAAGCAUUUGGCAGUUCGAUCAGUUUCGCUUCCUUUAUGGAAGGUGAAGUAGGAAAUGAAAGAUUUGAUAUUGAAGGCGUGCAUCGUGUUUAUUGUGACUUGUUGGAAAAAUUGAAGUUGUGUCUAAAGAAACAGGAAAGCCAGCUGGGUUUGGUAAACAAAGAAAGAGGUAAGUUGGUCCCGGUAUCUUUUAACUCUAAAAGAGUUAGAAAGCAUUUCAAAGCUGUAUAAGGGUUAAUUUGGAGGAAAUGUUUUGGGAGAAUUUGAGGCAAAGAAGAGUUGUGUUGUGCUUUCUGAUAGAUAGACUUUCAAAAAGGUCUACAAAUUAUCAGUGGAUUAUUGAGCACAAGGAGGUAAGAUAUAUUAAGAUAAGGCAACAUUUUUCCUUGAAGAUGCUUCGAGAAGGGAGGUACAAGAACAAGGAGUAUUACGAGAUGCUCAUUUGCAGGUUCCAUUUGUUUGAAGAAUCAAUUGAGUACAUUGGACAUGCGAGUCCUCGAUUGUUGUGAAGCCAGUUAUUUAUGCAAUUUGAGAAUGAAGAAGCUACGGGCCUGGUGCUUUUUUAUUCAUUCUUACAUUGCAGGAAUAAAUUGCCUUGCAACGAUCUAGGAUCCACAUGUCCAAUUGACUCAAAUGAUUCUUCCAACAAAUGGGACCUACAAAUGAACAUAUUGUAUAGCUCCUUAUUCUUGACUUUCCCUUCUUGAAGCAUCUUCGAGGAAAAACAUUGUCUUAUAUUAAUUGAGUUACCUCUAUGUGCUAAAGAAACCACGGAUAAUCUCUAGACAUUUUUGACAGUCUAACUAUCAAAAAGCAGAAUGCAACUCUUCUUUGCCUCUUCUUCACCUAAAAUCCUCCAAGCCCUUAUAUAGUUUUGAAAUGCAUCUUAACUCCUUUAUAAUUGCAAUAUACUAAGACCAAUAAAGUACAAUGGGUUCACCUCUUCAGUUUUUAUCGUUAGCUUUACUAUUUCAUUAGACACAAUGACUCUAAUUUGUCCAAGUUACAAACUACAUGAUCCACACCUUCAAUCUAUAUUUUGUAAUUGAACAUCUCAAAUCAUUUCCUUCCUGCUUCAAUCUUACCUUGCUUCAAUAAAGGGGAAACUACUAUGACAACCUAAUGUCUUGACGCCAUAUUGUACACUUCACGGGAUGUAUUAAUUUGAUAAACUCAUUCACAUCAUCACUACCUCAUAACCCUAUAAACUCAACUGAUCACAAACUCAUGAACAAAUGGAAAAUAUCCUGUAAUAUUAACACAUUCCUAACAUCAUACCACUUCAUCAUAGACGCUAAACUAUUACAAAACAAUAUAUACAAAGCAUCAUGAAAACCAACAAUCCCUCGAACAAAUUUACAAAACUCUAACAAUAUAGGAGCACUGUCAAGACCCAACCAAUCAGGCUGUGUAGGCACCUAUUUUAGCAUUUCUGUAGAUUGUUCAGUUUAUCCUCGUUGUUAUCUAUCAGAGGUUAGUUCCAUGCCCCCUCAGCUUUUGUAACUUUUUGGAUUUUAUACACAUGGUGCUCAAAGAUAUAAAAAGUAUAGAAGAAGAAGACAACCGACACCACCUUAGAAAAUGUCCUUGGUCUGAUAUAAGCCUCUUAGUAGAUAGCUCCUUCAAGGUUCAGUAAAGAACCAUGAAUAUUCUAUGUAAAUUGUUGUGCUAAAGAGGAAAUAACCUCUAGCAAGUUGGAGAAUUAAAAAUCAAUGAUUAGUUUAUAGAUAAAGUAUCAAAAUACCCUAAAGGUAUUUAGACAAUAAUACAAACACAUAAAUAAAUUAUAACAUUCACUAGUACAUGUACUCUCUUAAAUUAGAACAGAUUCAUUGCGGUGAUAUAUGCACCUCCCUUUAAUAUAUGUCCACAUAAUGUUAAAACUAAAAAUAUUGUAUUCGGGGAUCAAGGUGAAACAAGAAACUUAAAUGCAUCCAUAUAGAGAACGACUCACCUUUCUUACACCUUGGUGGGAUAAUUGGAACUCAAAGACCAACAUAGAAUACUAUAUCUUCAAUGCUUCUUUAAAUUGAUUGAGUAUUGCAGUUUACCAAUGGCUGCAUUGGAGGAUUCCUCAUUAAGAGAUGAACAAGUUUGAAGAUUGUCUCUCACUGAUUGCGUAUUGUUAAAAUAAAAUCUGGUUUAUUGGGUCCAAGAGUUUCAUCUAAAAGUAAACAUCUCACUAAGAUUAUCAGACACACCUAAACUCGUCUUCACUUAAAUCCUCAUUUCCACACCGUAUAUCACUUUUAUGAUCAAGUUUAUAAGUACUUGAGGCAACCUUAAAGUUGGAAUUGUAGAGAGGGACAAACCAAUUGUCUUCCUCUGGAAAGAGGUAACAUUGUCCUGAGAAAUUUUCACACAACAAAAGGCCAACAAUAACAUAAAACGUCAGGUGAGGAAAACCACACAAAGUUGUUAUCAAAACUAAUUUCAAAGAAGAAUUUAACGCUUAACUUCCCCAAACCUUCUAUAAAAGGAUUGAGAAGAUGCAAGACCUCUAAGUUCCAUGAACCCACAAUAAAAAAGGAUAAAUAAUUUACAGAUGAUGGCCUUUCUCUUUCAUUAACCGGAAAAGGUGAUUACCGAGCGACUAAUUCUACUACUAAUGUCUCUCGUAUGAUGAAAAUGCUUAUCAUGUUUCUCACAAUGACCGUAAAGGAUGACACUAGUAAAUUUGAGGAAUAUCUCCAAAUAUUUAGUCACUCAUUUGUUCCUGUGCCUCCUUCUAUAUUUAGCAAACAAGCUGCUCAUGGAUGCAUUUGUAAAUUUGUAGAUUCAUGUAAGACAUUUUUCACCUACCAUGUAACCGUAUAUAGGUAGUGUGCUCCUAUAUUGUUAGAAUUUGUAAGCUUCUACGAGGGGUUGUAUGAUGUUAAGAAUAUUUUAGGAUUGGAGAAUGCUUUUCAUUUGUUCGCGCAUUGGCAACAAGGUAAUUGCAUGUUUUAGAAUAUACUGUGCAAUCAACUCAGUUUAUGAGGUUAUCAGGUAGCCAUGUGUGUGACUUUAUCAAGUUUAUGUAGAUAAUAGCAGAACAAAAGUAUAAUUAGGAAGGUCGAUUGUUGAUUUGUAAAUAUCUAAGUGUGAUCAGAUAUGAUUUUGUAGGAUUUAAAUUGAUCUUAUAAAAUCAUAUAUGAUAUGCUAUUGAAUAGGUUAGGAUAUUAGAUCAAUAAUAAAAUCAUCCCUUGAUUCUCAAAUCUGCCAGAAUCAAGGGAUCUGAUUGCUAGUUAGUUCAGUUUUCUAUACUAUAAAUAUGUAUCUCUACAGAUGAAUAAGAUUGUACAAUUUUGGUACCAAAACUUAUAUGGUAUUAGAGCAAGAUUAUUCUUGUAACUGAAACAACACUGCUUCCAAGAAAAUAGAAGCCAAUAGCAUCAAUAGAAGUUGAGAGUUCUAUUAACAAUCUUGACAAGAGAUAACAAUGAAGCCAUGGUGUGAUUUUUGCAUAAAAUAUGGGCACACUUGUGAGACUUGCUGGAAUAUCCAUAGGAAACCGCCUAGCUGGAACAAAAAAAUGGCAGACAACCAUGGUCAGGCACUUCAGUGUACCAGCAAAGAACCAGGGCUACGAUCUUUUCUACAAAGGCGACCUUUCACUGAGGAAUAAGUAGAGCGGCUGCACAAAUUUCUCCAAGUUCUGCAACCUCAACUCCAAACCAGUAAAUCUAAUUUUUCUACUCCCACUUGUUCUUUUUCCCAAGUAGGUAGCGUACCAUCCAUUUUUGUGAGUACAGAAUCAACUGGUAUAAGUCCUUGGAUCAUAGAUUCAGGGGCUAGUGAUCACAUGACAAGGAAUUCCCAUUUUUUUCUCAACUUACACUCCUUUAACAGGAAAUAAAAAAUUCAAAAUUGCUGAUGGUUCCUUUUCAGCAAUUGCUGGAAAAGGGACAAUCAAACUAACCCCUCUUUUGACCCCUUUUGAUGUCCUUCAUGUUCCAAAACUGUCUCAUAAUAUUUUGUCCAUCAACAAAUUGACUCAAAACCUUAAUUGUCGUGCUAUUAUUUUCUACUCCCACUUGUUCUUUUUCCCAAGUAGGUAAUGUACCAUCCAUUUUUGUGAGUACAGAAUCAACUGGUAUAAGUCCUUGGAUCAUAGAUUCAGGGGCUAGUGAUCACAUGACAUGGAAUUCCAAUUUUUUCUCAAUUACACUCCUUUAGCAGGAAAUAAAAAAGUCAAAAUUGUUGAUGGUUCCUUUUCAGCAAUUGCUGGAAAAGGGACCGUCAAACUAACCCCUCUUUUGACCCCUUUUGAUGUCCUUCAUGUUCCAAAACUGUCUCAUAAUAUUUUGUCCAUCAACAAAUUGACUUAAAACCUUAAUUGUCGUGCUAUUUUUUACUCUACUUUAUGUGUAUUUCAGGACAAGGUCUCAGGGAGGAUGAUUGGCAAUGCUAGAGAGUCUAAAGGUCUCUAUUUUCUUGAAAACGGGGACAGUUCAGUAAAUCUUAGUUCAGCUUGUUUGAAAUCUGUUCAAGUUGAUAAUAAAGUCAUGUUAUGGCACUAUAGACUUGGUCAUCCUAUUUUUCAUUAUUUGAAACUCUUUUUACCUCAGUUGUUUAUGAAUAAAAGUACAUCCUCUUUCCAGUGUGAAUUUUGUGAAAUGGCUAAACACAGACGUUCAUCUUUUUCUUCCCAAAAGUACCAUGCCACAAAACCCUUUAAGUUAAUCCAUAGCGAUGUUUGUGGACCUUCUAAGGUAGCAACUAUAAAUGGAAAAAGGUGGUUUGUGAGUUGCAUAGAUGAUCACACUAGACUAACUUGGGUGUACUUAUUGAAAGACAAAAAUGAAGUAAAAGAUGUUUGAGGCUUUUUAUGUUAUGGUCGAGACACAAUUUCAUGAGAAGAUUCAAAUAUUUCGGAGUGAUAAUGGGAGAGAGUAUUUUAAUGACCAUCUAGGCAAUUUUUUCACUUCCAAGGGAAUAGUGCACCAAAGUUCAUGUCCUAAUACACCCCAACAAAAUGGAGUAGCUGAGAGAAAAAAUAGGCAUCUUAUGGAGGUAACUAGAGCCUUAAUAUUCACAAGUGGAGUCCCUAAAUUUGUUUAGGGAGAAGCUCUUUUGACAUCCACUUAUCUUAUUAAUGGGAUGCCUUCCCGUGUUCUAGGUUUUAAAACCCCUUUUAGUAUGUUCAAGACAUUCUUCCCUACUUCUAGAUUGACCAAUGAUCUACCUUUAAGAGUCUUUAGGUGUAGUGUAUUUGUUCAUGUACAUGAUCAUAAUAGGAGUAAACUUGAUCCAUGUGCUAAAAAAUGUGUUUUUGUUGGCUAUGCCCCUAGUCAAAAGGGAUACAAGUGUUAUGACCCAAACACUAGGAAGGUUAUUGUCACAAUGGAUGUCACCUUUUCUGAAUCUCAGAUAUUUUUUGGAACUCAUCUUCAGGUGGAGAAACAUAGUGAAGAUUCAAUGGAUAGUAAGGAUUCUCGCGACCUCACAUGCGAGAAACAAAAGGAUCUACCUUUGAUGAUAGAUACGGGAAAUAGUACUUUUGGUAGUAACAACCCUGAUAAGGUAAGAGAUCCCAACUUAUAUAAUGAAAAUAAGGAAACUGAGAUAGUAGAACCUUUUCAUGAUACAAUUAAUGACAAGGCCAUGGAACAAACAAAAGAAUUGCAGGUUUACAUGAGAAGAAACCAGAUUCAAGAAAAAGAGACUAAGGACGCUCAUCAGAACCAAAAGUUCACUCUGCAAGAUUUUACUCAUAUAUAAGGUAAUUCUCCAGAACCUAAUUCAAAUUUACCCCUUGUUAUUUUAGACCUUGAUCUUCCAAUUGCCAAAUGUAAAGGAGUAAGAAAAUUCACAAACCAUCCCAUGUCAAAUUUUGUGUCAUAUAGAAACUUGUCUCCUUCCUAUAUAGCUUUUCUUUCUCAAUUAUCUGGAAUGGAGAUACCGAGAAAUGUGCAGGAUGUUUUGAAUGUUCCCAAGUGGAAAGAGGCAAUUCUAGAGGAGAUGAAUCCUCUUAAGAGAAAUGAAACAUGGGAAAUGGUAGAACUACCACGUGGAAAGAAAACAGUGGGUUGCAAGUGAGUGUUUACCAUCAAAUUUAAAUCAGAUGGGUCCUUGGAGAGGUAUAAGGCACGGUUGGUAGCAAAAGGGUUCACUCAGACCUAUGGAAUUGACUAUCUUGAGACAUUCGAUCCAGUUGCCAAGUUGAAUUCAAUCCGGGUUCUUCUGACCAUUGCUGCCAAUCUUGAUUAGCCCCUUCAACAACUAGAUGUGAAGAAUGAAUUCAUGAAUGGAAAACUCGAAGAAGAAGUCUACAAGGAUCCUCCUCCGGGUUUUGAAGAAAGGUAUGGAACUAGAUAUGAAGAAUGCAUUCUUGAAUGGAAAACUCGAAGAAGAAGUCUACAUGGAUCCUCCUCCGGGUUUUGAAGAAAGGUUUAGAACUAGAGUGUGCAAGCUAAAAAAAUCUCUCUACGGGCUCAAACAAUCUCCAAGAGCUUGGUUUGAGAGAUUUACUCAGUUUGUAAAAAAACAAGGGUACACUCCAGGGUAAGUAGAUCACAUCAUGUUCAUUCGCCACUCUCUUGAGGGAAAGGAAACUAUCCUGAUAGUGUAUGUUGAUGAUAUUAUACUUACAGGAGAUGAAUUGCCCUAAAUGAAGAAUUUAAAUACACAGUUGGCCUCGGAAUGCGAGAUCAAAGAUUUAGGUCAGUUGAAAUAUUUUCUUGGCAUGGAAGUAGCAAGAUCAAAAGAAGGCAUUAUGGUGUCACAAAGAAAGUAUGUACUAGAUCUUCUAAAAGAGACAGGCAUGAGUGGUUGUCGUCCAGCUGAAACACCUAUUGAUCUGAAUAUAAAAUUUGGAAACAAAGAAGGAAAUUUAGUUGACCAAAGUCAAUAUCAGAGACUAGUGGGGAAGUCGAUCUACUUAUCACACACUCGACCUAAUAUAGCUUUUGAUGUAAGCUUAGUGAGUCAAUUUAUGCACUCUCCGAAGGAAGAGCACCAAGAAGCGGUCUACAGGAUUCUAACAUAUCUGAAAAGUUCACCAGGGAAAGGAUUGUUUUUUAGAAAAGGUCAAGAUAGAGGCAUUGAAAGCUUUACAGAUGCAGAUUGGGCAAGUUCUACUAUUGAUAGGAGGUCUACAUCAGGAUAUUGUACUUUUAUCUUGGGAAAUCUCGUGACUUGGAGGAGCAAAAAGCAGAAUGUUGUAGCUCGUAGCAAUGCUGAAGCUGAAUACUCAUCUAUGGCCUAUGGGAUCUGUGAAAUGAUUUGGCUCAACAAAAUGAUGGAAGAAUUAAAAAGGUUGUUUGUGUUACCAAUGAAGUUGUAUUGUGACAACAAAGCCUCCGUAAGUAUUGCUCACAAUCCAGUUCAACAUGACAAAACAAAGCAUGUUAAAGUGGACAAACACUUCAUAAAAGAGAGGAUUGAAGAAGGAAACGUGUGCAUGCCUUUCGUCAUAACAAAUCAACAAAUUGCGGAUAUUUUCACAAAAGACUUGUUUAAACCAAAGUUUGAAAUUCUUGUAAGCAAGUUAGGCAUGACAGAUAUUUACAUGCCAACUUAAGGGGGAGUGUUGAUUUGUAAAUAUUUAAGUGUGAUCAGAUAUGAUUUUGUUAGAUUUAAAUUGAUCUUAUAAAAUCAUAUAUGAUAUGCUAUUGAAUAGGUUAGAAUAUUAGAUCAAUAAUAAAAUCAUCCGUUGAUUCUCAAAUCUGUCAAAAUCAAGGGAUAUGAUUGCUAGUUAGUUCAGUUUUCUGUACUAUAAAUAUGUAUCUCUAUGGAUGAAUAAGAUUGUACAAUUUUGGUACCAAAACUUACAUCGAUUAAGGAAGAGAAUAUAGCUUUAAGAAUGAGGCAAGGCCAACCCAAAGUCUAAGUUGAAGUUACAGGGCUGGGAGGUAUGAGUUGAUCGGAUGCAGGGAAGCCCAGGAAAUCCGCUCCUAUCAAUCAUUCGUCAGCCCAAGAUCGUUAACUAUGAUCGGAAGACUCAACUAAAGAAGAGGAAGCUAAAGAGGAGAAGAAAGAUUUUGGAUAAGAUAACUUUAUUAUAGAACAAGACUCUUUGAUUUAGGUUGUUUUUGGGUUUUUCUUAGGUUGCAUACCAAUGACUAAGGUCACCCCUAUUUAUACUUGUGUGGGAUGGUUCUAGAUAUUACAACAUAUAGAUUAUUCUAUCUUUUACUUCAAAUAUCUAACUCUCUAGAAUAUUUAGAUAUUUCUUCAAGCCAACUUCUGUAAAAUAUCUAGAAAUUUCUUUAAAAUAAUUAUUCUCGAUAUGACACUAGACUAUUCUAGAAACAAUACUAGAAAAAUCAAUGCAUUACAAAAAUCAACUUUAUCAUUUUUCACAGUUUAUGCAUCCCUUAAAGUGUGAAAGAUGCCGUUAAGAAGAGUUUGGUUGUCCAUUUAAUUUCCCUUCAUUGAAGUAAGGUAACAGUGAAGCAGGAAAGGAAAGAUUUGAGAUGCACAAUUACAAAAAAAAAAGAUUGAAGGUGUGCAUUAUGUUUAUUUGUAACUUGCUGGAUAAAUUUGAGUCGUGUCUAAAGAAACUGGAAAGACAACACAAAGAUGUAAUUCUAUUGUACUCUUGUUGGUUUUGGUAACAAGGAGAUAUAUGCACAAUCCAUUUUUUUUAGUUCUAAAGGAUUUAAGAGGCAAUUCAAAUUCCAUAUAUAGGCAGUUUGCUCCUAUAUUGUUCUGAGUUUUGUAAGAUUCUAAGAAGGGUAGAGGGUGCUGAUGAUGCUUUGUAUAUAUUUUGCCAUAGUAGUUUAGCUGCAAUGAUGAAGGGGUAUGUCCAUGAUGUUAAGUGUGUGUUAAGAUUGCAUGAUGCUUUUCCUUUUGUUCGUGAGUUGGAAACAAGGUUAUCACAUGCUUUAGAAUUGAAUAUGCAAUCAUCUGAGUACAUACAAUUAUUAGAGAGUGGUGUGCAUGAGUUUAUUAAGUUCAUGCAUCCAGUAAAGUGUGCAAUAAGGCGUCAAGAAGCGUUUGGCAGUACGGUCAGUUUCCCUUCCUUGAUGCAAGAUGAAGCAAAAAGAUUUGAGAUUAAAAGCGUGCAUCAUGUUUUUUGUGACUUGCUGGAAAAAUUGGAGAUGUGUCCAAAGGAACUGGAAAGCCAGCUGGGUUUGGUAAACAAAGGAAGAGGUGAGCCUAUUGUAGGUUGUUGGUCCCAGUAUCUUUUAAUUCUAAAGGAGUUAGAAAGCAUUUCAAAGCUGUAUAAGGGUUUGGAGGAAAUGUUUUGGGACAAUUUGAGGCAAAGAAGAGUUGUGUUGUGCUUUCUUAUAGGUAAACUUUCAAAAAGGUGUAAAGAAUAUCAGUGGAUUCUUGAGCACAAGGAAGUAACACAUUUUAAGAUAAGGCAGUGUUUUGCCUUGAAGAUGCUUCGAGAAGGGAGGCAUAAGAACAAGGAGCUUUACGAGAUGCUCAUUUGCAGGUUUCAUUUGUUCUUGUCCCUCCCUUCUCGAAGCAUCUUCAAGGUAAAAUGCUGCCUUAUCUUAAAAUGUGUUACCUCCUUGUGCUAAAAAAUCCACUAAUAAUCUGUAGACCUUUUUGAAAGUCUAACUAUCAGAGAGCACAAUUCAACUCUUCUUUGCCUCAUCUUCUCCCUAAACAUAUCCUCCAAGCCAUUAUUCAACUUUGAAAUGCUUUCUAACUCCUUUAGAAUUAAAAUAUAUUGGGACCAACAACGUACAAUAGGCUCACCUCUUUCUUUGUUUACCAAACCAGCUGGUUUUCCAGUUCCUUUAGACACAACUCCAAUUUUUCCAGCAAGUCACAAAAAAACACGAUGCACGCCUUUAAUCUCAAAUCUUUCACUUCCUACUUCAUCUUGCAUCAAGGAAGGGAAACUGACCGGACUGUCCAAUGUUUCUUGAUGCCUUAUUGUACACUUUACCGGAUGCAUGAACUUAAUAAACUCACACAUAUCACUCUCUAAUAAUUGUAUAAACUCAGCUGAUUGCACAAUCAAUUCUAAAGCAUGUGAUAACCUUGUUUCCAACUCACGAACAAAAGGGAAACAUCAUGCAGUCUUAACACACACUUAACAUCAUGGACAUACCCCUUCAUCAUUGCAGCUAAACUACUCCCACAAAAUAUAUACAAAGCAUCAUCAACACCCUGUACCCAUCUUUGAAUCUUACAAAACUCGAACAAUAUAGGAGCAAACUGCCUAUAUACGAAAUUUGAAUUGCAUCUUAACUCCUUCAGAGCUAAAAAAAAUAAUGACCAAUAAAGUAAAAUAGGUUCACGUCUUCAUUUCUUAUGAAACCCAACUCGCUUUCCUAUUUCAUUAGACACAACUCUAAUUUGUCCAAGUUACAAAAUACAUGAUGCAUACCUUCAAUCUAUCUUUUUUUCUUUUGUAAUUGUGUGUCUCAAAUAUUUUCCUUCCAGCUUCACUCUCACCUUGCUUCAAUGAAAGGAAAAUAAUCAUAAAACCUAAUGCUUCUGGAGGGAAUACUGCACACUUUAUGGGAUGUAUAAACUUGAUAAACCCAUGUACAUCACAACCUCAUAUAUAACUCUAUAAACUGAACUAAUCACACACUCAAUUAAACUUGUUUCCAACUCGCAAACAAUGAAAAAUAUCCUGUAAUAUUACCACAUCCCUAACAUCAUACCAAUCCAUCAUAGCUUCUAAAAUACUCCUAAAUAAUAUAUAAAAAGAAUCAUGAACACCAGCAACCCCUCUCACAAGUUUACAGAACUCUAACAAUAUAGGCGCAAACUCCCUAUAUACGAUUAUGGGGUGGGGAAACAUGCAUUACAUGAAUCUAUAAAUUUAAAAAUGCAUCUAUAAGAAACUUGUUUGCUAAAUAUAGAAGGAAGCAUAUAAAUAUUUACCUGAGCUGCACAAAUAGAGGUGUGAAUAAAUACUAGGAAAUAUGCAUUAGAUCUACUAAUAUCAUCAUUUAGGGUCAUUGUGAGAAGCAUGGUAAGAAUCUUCGUCAUACAAGAGAUAUUAGAAUUAAUCAUUCGGUAAUCAUUGUAGUUGCAUAGUCAUGAAUAAACGAGUUUAAUUCAUUUAUCAGCUUUCACAUGUGAGGAUGCUGCGUGCUUUACAGUUUCCCAAAGAGUUACAGGGUGUCGCCAUUUUGGAUAUCACGCUCAGAUAUCAUUUGGGACAAAUGAAGUUGUUUCCCACUGUAGUGUAAUUGUUUCUCCAUAGAUGAUACCCUAAAGGUCUAUUGGAUUGGUCGGAUUUCAGUGAUUCAUUGGAUUUUUUUAUUAACUGAGGCAAUUGAGUUGAGGAAUUAGCUUGAAGGACUAGAGUUUCUCUGCCAUAAACAUACAAACAAAGAACUGAAUAGAGCUGACAGAUAAAGAGAGAUGGUUUCAUCUUUUCAGACCCUCAUGGCAGUGGCAUAAUCAUCGAACUUGUGUUUGAUGUUGUAAUAUGGUGUAACUGAUACACCAGUGGAAGUUGUGAGUAGAAAGAGUUGUUUGAAUUUGAUAUUUGAUGUGCUUAAAGCAAUGAUAUAUGAGGAGUCCCAAGUUAGGGAAUCACAACAUUAUUUUGUUAAUCUAGUGAAAUUUGUCGCCUUCCCUCCCCCACCCUCCCUAAAUUGCCUAUUAAGUCAUCCAUCGUGUCCCUCCUUCCCUCUAGCACCAUGCGUGCAAAUCAAAUUAAAAAUACUCCUCCUCAUGAGUUGAGUAGAAAAAUACAAUGAUAAAAAAUAUCUAAGGCCUUUUAUAAAUGUCAUCGUAUAAUUGGAUUCAAAUGUAAUUGUCACGUGGUAAUCAUGUGACAGGGGGUGCUCAAUAACAUUUGUGGCCUAAAGCAAAACUUUAUAAGAGGCCUUACUUUUAUUUGAAAAAAAAAAUCUCAUGUUUAUUCUUAUGUAAAGUCUUUUUUUCUAGUUUUUUAAGCUAAAAGUUAGUAAUCGUCAUUUUUCUUAAUAUAACUAUUUCUCUAAUAAUUCUUUUACUAUUCAAAAUAUAGUCAAUCCAUUAAAUCUUUCUCAAACCAUCACCUAAAGAUCUCCUUUUUAGAUUGUAUUCAAAUUAAUUUCUCUUUUUUAUUUUAAUUUUGUGCAAUUAUAUUCAUAUAUUUUCUAGUUAAUGCAUUUGAAUUCUAGUCAAAGCCACUUAAAGUUGCCCUAAUAUAGCCAUUAAAAUCUCUACCUGUGAAAAUCUUCUUGGUAUUCGGUAUACCUCUCACUACCUAGUCUAAAUCAUCCCAAAAAAACUUUUUGGCUUCCUUAUCUAUGCCCACUUGAUGCACAUAAGUACUAAUGACAUUCAAAUUUAUCCUACCAAUGACUAGCUUAAUCAUCAUCAUCCUAUAAUUGAUCCUCCUAACCUCCACCACUCAUUCCCUAAGGUCCUCGUCUACUAUAACACCUACUUUAUUUCUAUCCCUCGAGCCUCUUGAGUACCAUAACUUAAACUUGUCCACAUCUCUCACCUUGGUACCUACCCAUCUGGUCUCAACACAAGGUCUAUGUACCUUCCACUUCAGAUAAUCUUCACCAACUCUAUGGACUUUCCCAUUAGUGACCUUGUGUUCCAUGACCCUACUCUCAACAUAGAAGAAACUUUAACCCCCUCACGCCUACUUCCCCUUGCUCCAGACCUCAAUCGAAGACAUGACCCUAGUUCACCAUCAUUCCCAAGAUGUAAAUGAAAUAUGAAUCUAAUAAACUAUUGAAUCAAGUGGAGAGUGUAGGGCCAACUAAAAAUGCCAAGAAUUGAAAAAAAGAAAAGCAAAAAAUAAUAUAAUGGAUGAACAAAAGCAACCAGCUUUAGAAACCAUAGGAAUUAUGCAAUAUAUGGCGCUAUAGAUGGAUCAAGAACCAAAGAGUCACAUAGAGAAAAGUGAACAAGUGAUAGAGAUAUAUAAUAAUAUAUUAACAUAAUAUGUUAGAUCGAGUAAGAUUUUGAUAAUUGACAAAUAGGUGAAUAGAUGCGGGGAGCCGGUUACUGAAACAUGUUCCUAUCACAGAGAGUCUAACUGGGAUUAGGAGAAGAGGUAUCACGUGAAGAAAAAGGAUAAAAGGCAGUGGAUGAAGCAUGUUUAUGACAAAAGACUUGUUUGCAUAAAGUUUACUUUCAUAGUGAAAGUCUACAAGGAAAGCAAAGUCGUAUAAAGAAGGAGAAGCUUGAAUCUAUAAAUACAGUAAGGGUUUCACAAAGAAAUUUACACACUUACAUAGAGAGUUACAAGAAGAACAUAAUCAAAUAAGUGAGAGAUCAUAUUUGAGAUAAAUUGGAUUGAAGAUAAAAAAGCAAUUGAUAUCGAGAAACAAGAUUGCAGAAUGCUAACUCUCAUAGAAAAUGUUCAACUUUGAAUGAUAGCAGGGACCAGUUGCUAGCCGCUAUGACCAACUUAAAAUUUGAAUACAUUGAUCUUGAAAAAAUAAACAUUGGUCUAAAGGGGAAAACCAACUUCUACAAAGAAAAGGUUGACCAACUUGAUUCUGUUAGAAAAUGAGAUAUUUCUAGAUGGUUUUUGUUUAAUGGUUUUUUUAAAAUAUUAUGUUUAGUAUGUAAGGGAAAGGUAAUCCUUGUAUUAUGGAAUAUGUUUUGUAAGAAAGUCAAUAGUGGUUGGAUAUGUAUGGUCCUCUACUUACUUUGGAAAAGGUUAUGUAGAUAUAUGUGUGUAUGCUUUUUGAAAUCUUAAUAUGAAUGAAAAGAACUGUUGUUGAACUAAGUCCUUUCUUCUUUCUAGUUUAUAAUACUAACACUAGUAUCAAGAGCCCUUUUUCUUGAGGGAUCUGUGAAGGCAAGAAGGCUAAGGUUUUUUCUCCAGUUCUUCUAAGGUGAGAGCUGAGCAGCAGUAACAUGGCAUCCAACGGCUUCUUGGGUGUAGGCCCUCCUAUGUUUACAGGAGAAAAUUAUCACAUAUGUGUGAUAAAUAUGAAGGCUUAUCUCAAAGCUCUUAUCUCAAACAGUAGUUGAAAUGGCUAUAUGUUUUUUGCUGGAAAAGAAACUGCCACAAAGCUUUUGGGUAGAAGUUAUUCAUACUUGACUGUAUUUGUUAAAUAGGCUGCCAAUAAAAGUUGUGGAUGAAAAGACUCCUAUUGAGGCAUGGAGUGGAAUACAACCAUCUGCCAAGCAUCUAAAAGUUUUUGGUUCGAUAUGUUAUUCUCAUGUUCCUUCUGUCAAAAGAAGCAAACUUGAACCAAAAGGUGAAUUGGGGAUAUUUAUUGGUUAUUCAUCACAAGCCAAGGGUUAUAGAGUUUUCAACUUGAAAACAAAAAGUAUUUCAAUCCGAAGAGAUGUAGUUGUGGAUGAUCAUUCUUAUUGGAACUGAGAUAAGGAGAAAAUUGAGAAAGAUAAUGCAGUUUUUCAGAACUUGAGUCCGCUUCCUGAAAUCCAAUCAUUUGGGUCUGAAACUCUGGAAGAAGACGAAGAAUCAGACAGGAAAUCCUCACUUGAUUCACCAAUUUGGAAGACAAGGUCCCUCUCCGAGAUAUAAGAAAGAUGUAAUGUUGCAAUUUCGGUACCAAAUAGCUAUCAAGAAGCAUCAAGACAUGAAGUUUGGAUUUAAGCUAUAAAGGAGGAGAUUGGUAUGAUAGAAAAGAAUGAUACUUGGAAGUUAGUUGAUAAACUAAAAAACAGAAAUGUGAUCGGGGUGAAGUGGGUUUACAUAACAAAAUUUAAUCCAGAUAGCUCAGUUUAUAAAUACAAAGCAAGGCUUGUUGUGAAAGGUUAUGCACAAGUUGUAGGUAUGGAUUAUGGAGACACUUUUGUACCUAUUGCACGACAUGAUACAAUAAGGUUGUUAUUUGCUUUGGCAGCUCAAUCAAAUUGGAAGCUGUGUCAUUUGGAUGUGAAAUCGGCAUUCUUAAAUGGACUAUUGCGGGGAGGAGAUCUAUGUUGAUCAAACCAGAAUGCUUUCAAGUUGCAGGAAUGGAGGAUAAAGUCUACCGACUUCAUAAGGCAUUGUAUGGAAUUAAAGCUAGGCUCCUCGAGCAUGGUACAGUGAGAUUGAUGAUCAUCUCAUUCAUUGUGACUUCAAGAGAAGUGAAAAUGAAGCCACUUUUAUAUGGUAGAAAAAGGCUAAAGGAGGAGAUGUGUUUGUGGUGUCACUCUAUGUUGAUGAUCUUCUGGUAACAUGAAGCAAUGAAGCUAUGGUGAAUCAGUUCAUGCAAGAAAUGGAGACCAAGUUUGAAAUGUCAGAUUUGGGUGAAAUGAGUUACUUUCUGGGAAUGGAGAUUCAUCAAGCUACUGAUGGAAUCUUCAUUUCACAGAGAAAAUAUGCAUGGGAUAUUCUUAAAAGGUUCAAGAUGGAGAGGUGCAAGCCUGUACCGACCCCACUGAUUCACAAUGAAAAGAUUUCAAAGUUUGAAGGUGGAGACAGGACCGAUCCAACAGUUUAUAGAAGUUUGAUUGGUAGUUUGUUGUAUUUGACAGCAACAAGACCCGAUCUCAUGUUCGCGGCAAGUCUACUAUUGAGGUUUAUGCAAGCUCCAAGUCAAGUUCUUCUUGGUGUUGCUAAACGGACGUUGAUAUAUAUCAAAGGAACUGUUGAUUAUGGUAUUUGGUUUAAAAGGAAAGAGCAAGGGCAACAGAUGGGUUAUUCAUAUAGUGAUUGGGCAAGAACCAUUGAUGAUAUGGAAAGCACUUCUGGAUAUGCUUUUACACUUGGUUCAGGCAUGUUCUCAUGGAAUUCAAAGAAGCAAGAGGUGGUAGCUCAAUCUUCUGCAGAAGCAGAAUACAUCGCCGCUGCUGGUGCAACUAAUCAGGCUUUAUGGUUAAGAAAGAUUCUACAUGAUCUGGAGCAAAAUGACAUUGAAGCUACCGUCAUUAAGGUUGAAAGCAAGUCAGCAAUAUCUAUGGCCAAGAAUCCAGUGCAACGUGGUCGUAGCAACCAUAUAAAUGUGAAGUUUCAAGCUAUCAGGCAAGCAGAGGAGGAUGGCAAAGUUGAACUUGUUCAUUGCAGCUUAGAUCAGCAGAUUGCAGACAUCAUGACCAAGGUUCUUUCUAAGGGGAAAUUUGAAGUUCUAAGGGCUAAGUUGGGAGUGUCAAAGAAAAAUCUCAAGGAGGAGUGUUAGAAAAUGAGAUAUUUUUUGAUGGUUUUUGUUUAAUGGUUCUUUUUAAAUAUUAUGUUUAGUAUGUAAAGGAAAGGUAGUCCUUGUUUUAUGGAAUAGGUUUGUAAGAAAGUCAAUAGUGGUUGGAUAUGUAUGGUCCUCUAUUUACUUUGGAAAAGCUUAUGUAGAUAUAUGUGUGUAUGUUUUUUGAAAUCUUAAUAUGAAUGAAAAGAAAUGUUGUUGAACUAAGUCCUUUCUUCUUUCUAGUUUCUAAUACUAACAGAUUCUUGUAACUUAUCUCUUAAAACUGAAAUCUUGAAAUUAAGUGUCAUUGGAAAAGGGAAGGGCAAGAUUAUUGAUGACCUUAUCAGAUGUGAACAGGAUCUUAAGAGACUUAAAACUGAAUUGUUCUCAGAAAAAGAAAAAUCUAUAAGAAUUAAUCAGGAACUGGCUAGUACUAAAUAUGAGCUUGAGAGAGAAAAUAAAUGGACUCGGUCAUUCAUGAUUAUGACUCAACCGAGUAACAACACACAUAGGGAAACACUGUAAUUAAUCACUCUAGGGUUGCAUGUCUAAAAUCCAGAGCUAACAUAAAUAAAAACAUCAAAGCUAUCAUAACAGAAAAAAACAAAAAUGAAUCACAUCGAAGGAACAAGAAUUUUUAAAAAAAACUGGAAAUACUUUAACAAAAAUGGAUGAAAAGAGAUCUCUUUCAUCCUUCUGAUCUAAGGAAAGGACCCAAGCUAAUCUGGGCUCCUAAAUCUAACCCUUGAAAUUUGCUAAAAAAAGUGAGAGGAAGCAAGAAAUACCGGUACAUGGAUAGUGCUUACUCAAGCCAUAUAACUGGAAACAAAUUAAAAUUCCUCUCCCUUGAAUAAGAGAAGGGUGGAAUGAUUGCAUUUGGUGGUGGAAACAAAGGCAAAAUCAAAGGCAUUGGCGGGAUAGGUAAAUCUGAUAAACAUGCAAUUGAAAAGGUAUACCAUGUUGAAGGACUGAACCACAAUCUACUCAGCAUAUCACAACUCUAUGAUAAAGGACAAGGUAACCCUCUACUCUACAUGUGUUGAAGUGAUAAACCUGAAAAUUGAGGAAGUGUACAUUUUUUAUAUUGCAAAAGUACCAGCCGAAGAUCGUGCAUGACUAAGAUCCUGUUUGGAUUGGCCAAAAAAUAGCUUUUAAGUCAAAAAAUAAGAAGUAUGGAGAGUCCUACUUUAGAUUUUAAACCUUUUAAAGUCAUUUCAAACUUAUUUAAGUUAUAUUUAACUUUUCCAAACACUCUCAAAACCUAAUAAUGACUUAAAAGUAGGUUUGACCAACUUUUAAGUCAAAUUCAAACGGGCUCUAAGUGUGAUGCACAAUGAUCCUCUACUAUGGCACAAGGACUGGGACAUGCCAUUCAUGUUCAGCUAAACGAACUCAUCUCCAAGGACUUGGUGAUAGGACUCCCUAAAACUGAGUUCAAGGAAGACAAGGUUUGUGAAGCAUGUGCCCAAGGUAACCAAGUAAAUACAUCUUUUAAAUCCAAACAGAUCAUCAGCCACUACAAGAAACAGGAUUUAUUGUGGCAACAUUUAGUGGCGAUCUUAUUUGUUGCAACAAAAGCUACAUAUUCAGCAACGACAAAUGAAGAUAAACCUUUAGUGGCGAGUUAUGUUAAGUUGCCGCUAAUAGACGUUGCUAAUUCUCAAUUAUUAAUUCCCGCUAACAUGAAAAUUUUUGCUCAAUAUUUUUCAGUGGCAACCUGUAAAUUGUCGCAUCUAAAUGUCCUUUGUGGUGAUAUUGUCGCUCCUAAUAGUCAAUUUAAUUUAAACAUAAAAUUUAAAAGAAAACAAAAGAAAAUAUCUCAUAAAAGAAGUAUACACACAACUCUUAUACAACCACUCUUCUUCUCAAAGUUUCUCGGUUUUCUCACCCUUCGCUCAACUUCUCAUAGAAAUUCUUCAAAUUUUCAAUCUCAAAUUUGUUAAAUCGCUACUCAUAUCACCAACCCUAAUCAAGUAUGGGCUCAAUUUCCUUUUAGAUUGUAUUUUUUUGUCAGAUUUUACCUCUUUUUCUUUCACCCAUUCAUAAAUAUGUAGAAGUUAGAAGCGGUUUGAAGGUUUAAGGCAAAAGAUUCUCGAAAAUCUAUAGAUAUCAGAAGUUGUUUGAAGGUUUUAAGAAGAAAGGUUGGAAGUUUGAUAAUCACUGCGAGCUUUUGAUGUUUUCGAUGUUUUGAAGUUGUUCAAAGGCUUGUAAGGUACCACACAUGUUUUAUCCUAUGCUUGUUUUCCGUAUUUUAUCGAUUCUCGAUUUCCACUGUGUGCUCAUAUUAAUGUAGAGAAAAAUACUUUUUUAUGUUAGAUUUACUUGAAUUUUUUGUAUUGAAAAUGUAUUCUAUUGAAUUUGAAGUAUUUAGUUAUAAGAAAUUUAUUGAAAAAAUUAAUUUUUUGAACAUGUACAUUUGUUCUUCUAAUAUGGACAUGAUUGUCAAUUGUUGUAUCACCAUGUACUAUAGAAGUUCUGCUCAUAUUUUUCAAGAAGAAGAAGAAUAUCCUACUCUUUUUCUCUAUCCAUCUUGUUGAUUGACACCAAAUAGUACUUGUAGUAUGCGAAAAAUUUCUCGGAGAUAGGAAAUGUACCAAUUAACAUUAACAUGACACUAGUAUCCAAAGGCUAGAACAUCACUAUGUAUGUACUUGAGAAGUCACAUUAACAACUUAUCUAAUGCUAAAGUGUGAGAAGAAACAAUGGAAGAAUACAAUUGGGAAAUGUAGAGAACUCUACAAAUUUGUUCCCCAAAUGUUAUUUCACAUUGUUGCAUUAAUAAUUGAUUUUCCAGCCUCUUUCUUCAUUUUCAUUGAUUUUUCACUCUCUUGAAACUACACGAACACUUGUUGCAUAUAGUAGAUCAUGAAAGGUGUUGGAUAAGAGCAGGAAGAAUAGGGAGAACAAGUAUUUUUUUUCUUUUUUUUGACUAAGAUCUUCUGAUAAGAUAGAAGCUGAGGAAAACGAGUACCAUAUCGAAGAAAAACUAAUGCAAUAUAGAAGGGCCAGUAUUGGUUACAAGAGACGGUUAGUAAAACGCAAACAAUACUAUAAAAAAUUUCUCAGUACAAGCAACCAUCUGAAAAGAAGAGGUUUGUUUUCUCCAGUAUGCUGAUUGCAGCUCCAAACAAAGGACUUUGGCAGAUUAGAGGGAGACUAGGUUGUUUACAUACGGAAAGCAUCGAUAAUGAAUGCAAGCUUCACUGCUCAGCAAUUUUGUUGCACAGGAAUUGAAAUCGUAUGGAACGUUCUUUAUGCACAAUCCGCCUCCAUUAUAUCACUCUCAACAUGUAAAAUUGAUUAGCUCCUUCCUACAUCCCCGACAAUUUUACUCUCUGUUUCUCUGACCACAUUCUGAUUUGGCUUUUCAUUUGCAUUGUAUUUGAGUGGGCAUUAACCAAAAUGUUUAACCUUAUUAUAUUACCAGUUACAUCAACCUUACAAAGCUUUCCACUAAAAGCCCCCAAGAAGCCAUGAGUGUCGUUGCCUUGAAGGAGCGGUGACCUCUCCUUUGGUUAGAUCAAAAUCAAGAAUAUUACCAGUUGUCAUCCAGUAAAUAAUGCCAUUCACAUGGACCCCUGAUUUUGGCAAUACUUUCUAGCUCCAAUAUAAUUUUGUACUCUGCUAUAAAGUUGAGCAACGGUGGUUCAAAUAAGAGCACAAUUGUUGGAUUUGAUCCAUGAUUAGCAUUUGAUUUUUGUUCUUAGAUUACAUGAACUGACAUUCAUUCUCUGUACUAACUCUAACUUGUUAGUAUUGUGGUUCUUAGAAUAGAAACUAAUUCAUGACACCUAUAGCUUUAACUUUAUAAUUUGACUCAGUGUUUUAAGUGGAAUCAGUGGUUUACAUUUCUAUCAAUGAAACAACAGUUCAGUAAAAUGUCCCACCAUUUUUAUUUGAUUGAUAUAAUACUUUGCUUUAUGACUUGAUAUUUUCUUUGGCAGGUAGAUAUAAUCAUUUUUAAUUUCUGAUUCUGAUACUUCUCCUAUUUUAUCUAAUGUUGCAGAAAAUGAAAGGAACUGGCAGAGGACGAGGACAAGGUAAAAGUGGAAGAGAUGGUGUAGGAAGUGGAUGUGGUAAUUUUUUAGAACACAAAAGUUUAUGAACUACGUCUCAACCACAAAUAUAACCAAUAAGAGUUGUUGAAAUAUCAUUAGAGACUGGACAAUAACCUAACCCAAUUCAAGGACGUCUAUAGGCAGAACAAAUAUCAAGUGCCCCUCUCCAAAGAACAUCUCCCCAGAUAUGAUCAUCAAGAAAUCUAGAAGAAAGUAUGCAACCCUCCCUAGAGGUUGAAACUGGUAUAGGUUAGUUCACGUCCCUCCCUUGUAGGAAACGAUUGAUUAAUGCUUUGCUGGUUUAUUCAUCUUGACAUUUUGGAAUAUUAGAAAGAUUUUGCACCCUCUAUUUAUUGAAACUUUUUGCAUUUGUUAGAGGAAAUCUGUUGGGUUUUUCUUUGAUAGCUGUUAUCAUCAUUAUAAUUUGAUCAACAAGAAUUGCUUUUGAUAGCAACAACUAUGAUAGCAGUGAAAACUUUGUUUGCUGCCAUCACUGCCUUGUUCACUUGAUCAUCUACCCUAUGUAUGAUAAUUGCAUUCUAUGCUUCCUUUCUACCAACCUGCAUAAAAAAAGCCAGAUCAUGACAAGUUAAUGUUUGAGCAGUUGCAUAUGUUUCAAUAUAAGUAGAUAUACUUAAUUGCAAGGUGCAGUCUGAGGGUAUUAAAUGAGAAAUCAACGACUAUAUGAAUUAUAUGAAUCUUCACUGAACAUGUUGGACUAAAAAUAAAUUUUACCUGAACGGCUCGAAGAACUACAUUAGUAAGUGGGGGAAAUGGAGUAUUGAGAUUGCCAGAGGCCCCAUUUACCGCACCUUAUGUCACCAUUUCUAAAUUUAUAAAUUUCGUAACCUUUUUAUUACCUUUAUGCCAUGACCUUCCAUAGCAGUGCUUGUUGGCAAAGUGAUAGCAAACAUAGAGGCUAGUGUGUCUUCAACAACGAAAAGUAUGCGUCAAUAGGUGCAAGUUGAUAUGAACCGAAAGUUGCAAGAAGAACGUGAACAAAUGACUGCCGAUUUAAAAAGGAAUAUGGAAGAAGAUUUGCAAAAACAAUUGGAAGGGAACAUGAACACAUGAAAGGUGAAGUAGACAAGAUGUUCCAAGAACAAAUGGCCGCUGUCAUGACUAGAAUUCAACAGGUACUUUAUCUUUUUCCUUCCUAACAAUUCUAUUCAGUUCUUUGAAAGUUUAGAGUUGUUGGUGCAUCAGUUGAUAUUGGUGGUGCCAUAAUUACGUAGUGUCAUUUGUGUUAUUGAGCCAGUCCAUUUGAGAAUUGAUGUAGAUUUGGAUUAAUUUCAAUGUCUUCUCUGGAAUUGAGUUGUUAUGUGAUGAUUGCUUUGCCGCAUAAAGAUCAAAACUAAUUUCAUUAGCAUUAGGAUAUAUAUUGUGGGGAGCAACUUGUUUUAUUCUUUUGUCAAGCUGCUGAGUUGCAUAAGCUCGAAAAAUAAAAUGGAAAUUGGGUGUUGCAAGGAUGUAGUGAAAAUUAUAGCAAAACAUAAGGAUACUUUUGGUUAAAAAACUCUUAGAUCCUUCCCAAUUCUCUGUUAUGUUGUGAGGAUCAGAGAAAAUUGCUUCUUCCUAAGCAUGUAAUGCAAUGUAAGCAUUCUUAGCCUAAAAUUCUCAAAAGAAAGUGAUGGAUUGAUGGCAAUAAUAUAUCACCACCAACAAACACAAAAGACUAAUUACAUGUAGAAGCAAACAAAAUCCCCUGAAGCUGGCAAUCUCAUUGUACAACUUUUGUAUCAAAUGCCUAUAGCUACGAGUUCCCUUUGUACAUUUCAAUUGAUUCAAUCUUUUUGGAGAUGAAUUAUGCAAAUAGGACACAAAUAUUUUUUCCAUACGUUUUAUGAGAAGGUCCCUAAAGAGAAUAGAUGCUAUAUUGUCACUGAUUCCAGUGCAUGAGGGAGGCAACAAUGACAUUUAAUUUCUAUACCACAUCCAAAUCGUCCAAAUUUGUUUGUCUUUGCAUCUAUGGGUAAUUUAUUAUAAUAUAGAGCCCUUCAAGUGAUGACUACUUGCUUGUUAGGGACCAUUUUAGCCAAACUUUUAGGUUUUUUCAGUUGCAUCCUUCUUAACUCUUAUUUGGUCCCAUAUUGAUGCUAUUGAGGAAGUACCAUUGUUAACGUUUUACUAAGUUUUCUUCAAUAGCCCCCGGAAAAGUGUACUCUAAUGUGCUCUAUAUCACCCCUUUUAUUAUGAGAAUUAGAGAUUGAUUGUGUGUUUUUCUAAUUACAGGGACAAGUUUAUUAAACAAGGGGCCAAUCAAGAAGAAGGUUGAAGGCGUACACUGGAAGUUUUUGCUUUUUGACCAUAAAUAUAUAUACAAUGGAAGUAUUUUUGGUUUUGGUUAUAUAUAUAUAUAUAUAACAACUGAAGUACUACUAUGCAGUUGAAUUUUUGGUAUUUAUAAUAUUUGACUUAAGAAUGCUUUUGUAUUAAUUUUGUGAAAUACUUUUAGAUGUUUUUAAUAGCUAUAUAUUAAUUUUAG